UGAAAAAUUAAAACAAGCUUCUAACAAGUGAGUACUAUAGCAAUUCCAAUGAGAUUCAAGUCUCCCCUCAUGCAACAUUCACUAUGCAUUUACUCGUUAAAAAUGAAUUUGAUUAAAUCAUGUCUCCUUAAUUUGAAAAGAUGUUAUCACCAAAAUAAAUUGAAUAAAUUAAACAAGCCAAUGAACACAGUCAUUAAUAUUUGCAUUAUGAUAGAUUGUCUAUGUUACAUUCCUCGAAGUGCAGCCCUUCUUCGGAUUAUGCGUGAAAACCAGAUGUGUGACGCUCUUCCCAAUGUCGCGCUUCUGUAAAUUUAUCUUAGCCACUAUUGACAGCGAUCUCUCGAUACCCCUGACAAGAAAUCUAAAUGGAUAACUUCUUGAUGAUGAUGAAGCUCAGAAAAGAAUGAAUUUGGCUUUAGAUGAUUUUUACAUAAUGGGCAAGCCAUAUUACGUCCACAAUUCAUCCACCUAUCCAAACAAACCCUAUGAAACGCAUGAUCACAUCUCAACUCUCUAACUUCUUCUCCUCCUUCAAUCUUGCACAAACAUAUAGCACAUUCUACUGAAUCCAAAUUAGACCCCAAAUCGUGCCCGAAACGCCUUAUUCUAAGCUCAUUAUUAUGAUCAUGAGGUGUUGUAGCUGCAUCUUCAGAAAUGGCAGUGAAGUUGUAAUUACAAGAAUAAGAGAAAGAUUGAAAGAAUAGAACAUUCCAAGCCCAUUUCAGAUGUGUAAUAAUAAAGUCUAUGUAGUUUAGUAAUUUUGAUUGAGGAAACAUUUGAAAUGCUUUUUUAAAGAUGUAGCUGAAGAUAAUACAUAGAAAGAAGAAGUAAAUGGAUAAUGAAGAUGGCCUCAUUUUUUUAAGUGAUGAGAGAUAAUUAAACUGGGGUUUGGGAUUUUGCUGUAGGAGAAAUAAUAUGCACACUAAGGUUUAUAUAGUUAUCUAAAGGCAGAUCCUAAGUAGCUGAACUGAUAUUAAAAUAAUACUAUUAUUUAUUUAUUUGCAUUAAUCAUGUUGUACACAAAGUUUGAAUAUAGAGUAACUGAUAUUUGACUUACACUCAGGAAAAUGCAUGUGUUGCGCCGUCUUUGUUGUCAAGAAUGAAUUGUUUCAACCUUGGACUACAUUGGUUGCGAUCGAGCAGAUGAAAUUUUUCUUAUUUAUACAUAUAAAGUUUAACUUUGUUAUAUUGAUAAAACUAGAAAUACAAUAUUCUUGUUAUAGUCACUCGCCUGAAGAUUCACAAACUUUUUUUAGCCAGUUGAAGUACAUCGCGCAAAUUUUUCUUUAAAAUAACUCAAGUAAUCAUAAUUUUUAACAUUCUUGGAAAUAAAGAACCUUUAGCAUUCAAGAAAUGUUGAAAGCCCUUGUACCAAAUGGACCGUGGAUAUCAAUUUGAGGAGUUUGACAAAAAAAGAAAGAAAUAUCGAGAGUAUGAACAACAAAAGGAACAACCUCAUAUUCAUGGAGGUUGUUUUUCCACAUACCUUUAGCAUAUCUCUCAGCAUAAGCUUCAGAAUAUUCUAGUUGAAAUUAUUUAGGGACUUGUUGUGUGCCUCUGAAUAAAGACUUAAAAUACAAAAAUACAAAAUGAAUACGCUCUCGUUUUGUGGUUAUUGGAGUCGUUUGUAGAAUUGAAUAACAAAAAUAAAGGAGCAAAAAACUUAAUGUACAAUAUUUAUGCCUUAAAAUCAGCCUCCUAUCCUCCGAUGGAAAUGAAGUCUCAAGAGAAAAGAAAAAUAGGGUUAAUAUUACUCGUUGAACUGUAUAUUUUAACAUCUCAAGUGGGAAAAAAACGUUGUGAAACUGCAUCACAAAAUGUUCUCUUGUAUAUAUCGUAUCCACAUAUAUGCACAAAAAUAAUACUAUCUUUCUAGUAUAGAGUAUACUAUGAAUCUUUUCACCAGUUGUAAUACCCUAUAUUUUAAAUAAUGUGUAUUGGUAAUAACAAUAACAAUAAUAAUUAUUAUUAUAAUAACAAAAAAUUAUAAGAAAAUUAACUACUGUCAAAAAAAAAGAGAAAAGUUAGGCAAAAAAGGCCGAAGCCCAACCUACUAUAGAAACAAAAAGGGCAAAAGGUGGCUGCAAAAUUCAAAGAAGCAAAAAGCUUCAACAGAACGUGAAAAAGAAGAAGAAAAUAACAAACAGGGAAAGAAAAAGGGGGAAAGAGAAGAAGAAGAAAAAAAGGAGGUUGGUACCAAACCUUAAUACGCAUUGAUUCCUACGGGUAAUACUCGAAUUCCUCAUCUGGGUUCUUUUCUUUUGGUAAUUCUUUUCAUCCUGGUUCAUAUAUUUGAAGGGUUUCACAAUGUAUAAAAAAUUAAAUACCAAUAAGAAUUAUUCUGGGCAAAUGAAGAGUCAAACAUGAAACCUCGAGGGUUGGGUAUUCUAAAAUAGCUAUGAAGUUGCCUAAAUAAGAAAAUUAACAUGACAUCGAUAUUAUGGAAUUAUAGAUUGAUUGGAGGAAUUUGUACGAAUCGCUCGAGGUGAAGCAUUUGGUAUUUCGGCACGAGUACUGUGAGUAGUAAUCUUAUCACAAUUUGUGUUUUCAUAACCUUCAUAGUUUAUAUAUAGUUUUUGAAAAUAAAUGUAUUACCGAUGCUUUGAAAUCUGCAUGUGGGACAAGUCCUUUACUUUAUAUGAUACCGAACAGUUCUUACCGGUUAAUAAAGAUAUUUUCAUUGUUACAAGAUAUGCUUUACCGUUACUUGAGACAUGAUUACUGUUGCCGAAAUAGACUUACAAGAUUUGAAAAGGAAUGAUAUGCCCUUUAUUAUUUUGAAAAUGCUUCAAUACGAGUAUUUAUGGUUUACAAGAAAGAAUAUAAAUGGGAGGAGACUUUGAAGGAUCCCGUANNNNNNNNNNNNNNNNNNNNNNNNNNNNNNNNNNNNNNNNNNNNNNNNNNNNNNNNNNNNNNNNNNNNNNNNNNNNNGAAGGUAGAACUAGCAUACAGUUACAGUUUUCCCUCGAGUAGGGACCUACAGUUAUAUUUGUCUCCUUUUACGAAGGGUUCCACAUAGUGAUACAGAUUACAUGAUCCUUUUCUAAAACCUCCCAAAUAUAAGGAUUUGCUAUGACACACUAUUUGCCAAGUUUAUUACUGAAUUGUUAAAUUGAUUUUGUCACAGGAAACACAUGGUGAUACUGAUUAUUAUUAUCGUUUUAAAAAUGGCAUUUUAUUUUGUGAUUAUUAUGUAAACAUGUUUUCUGACUUGUCCCCAGAUAAAAAUGGUUGUGGUUAAGUGUUAUUACUUACUGAGUUAGAAACUCAUUCCCCGCUAAUUUUUUUUCAGAGACAGCAGUUGACACAGGCGAGAAUUUCGUUAAUUAGAGCGUACAGGUUGAGAAUUCUUGGUGAGUCUCGCACUUUUUUUUUUGGUUCCACUUGUCAAUCGCCUAGGGUUAAUUUUUAUAAAUAAACAGAAAAGAAAAUUACAACAAAUAGGAACAAUAAAAUAAGGCGAGUUACACCGGUAAUGUCACCCAUGUAACACUGCCGGCAUAAACCUUAUCUUAGCUAUCCUAUUGAGGCAAAUAACAGCCUCAUGUACUAACAAGCAUGUAAAAAGAAAGAGCUCGCAACAACUAAGAAUUGAGUGAUCAUCACAGAGUUUAUAACAAGGUCUGUGAUGAUAUUACACAAAAUAAUACUAAUGUGAUGGUAAAAUAAAAAGAUGAAGAAGCCAUAAAGAUGCCCCUUUUUCUCUUUUGUUGUGAAAAAUUUGAUUUGAAGAAUGAUGUCUUCUUCCCAAUAAUUUUUCAAAAAGUCUUCAAAGUUCAUGAUAUAUUCUUCAGGCGAUUGGAUUUUGGAAGAAUUGUUUGAGCGGCAUGUUUUUGUUUUGCAGUUCUCAUUGGGGGCUUCCUUAUGUUUACGUCUUCAACCAUCCUGCCGUCCCAACUUCUUUCCCUUUGAUGAGACUUCUUAUUUCUUGCACUGUGCAAUGGUGACAAAUCUCUUUUUGUUGAAGCAUCUGCUCGGCAUUGGUUUAAGAUAUCCUCUUCUUCCCCUUCUUCGUAUAUAUGUUUUCCUGCGAAACUUAUAUUUGGCAAUUCUUGACAGACACCUUUAGUUGUUAAUUGUGCAUUGCUCAUGACAGAACUACCAGCAAUAAGGUUAGUUUUUGUAUUCACCAUUGCUUCCAAGAGUUGCCUUUCCUCGGACGAGAUUACUGAAGCAGUUGUGACGAGCUGCCCCGCCUGAGACCUUGCUACUGUGUUGACAUCAGCAGAAUGAGAGUUAGUUGUAGCAUUCCUUUGCUGCUCCUGAUUUGAUAUCAUAGUUGGCGUCACGGUAUCCGAAAAUUUUCUGUCCUCUAAGUUAGAGACUUGUUCUGUUGUUGCAACCUUAUUCUGGCUAGUCUAUGGCAGCAGAGUUGAAAUUCGAUCACCAACUGAAGCUUCGGCGGAGUUCAGUUGACGAUUAUGUGAUGUAUCAUUGUUGUUGAACUUUGAUGUCCCUUCAAUUGAGCUAACUGCUUUUGCGUUAUUUCUACGAUUAUGUGUUGUAUCAUUGUUGUUCAACUUUGAUGUCCCUUCAAUUGAGCUAACUGCUUUUGUGUUAUUUCUUGGAACAAAAAUUGGAGCAUUAUGGUUUAAACUGCUGUUUGGAUUGCUGUUUGUUUCAUAGUUGCGCGACAGUUCUAAUUUGUAUUUUUCCUUUGACAUUUUUGCUCGACUGAAUCAUCACUGUCUUCUUCAGUACUGUCUUGAUCACACUCUUGGUCUUCUUCUUCCCAUGAAAAACUAGCGAGUCCUUCUCUCCAGCUCUCCUCAUCAUCGUAGUCUCGUUGGUCUUUCCACAAUUUUGAUUUAAUGGCCUUUGCCCUCUUUGGCACAGUAGGAGUAGCUAUGAUUGGAGAACUAUUAAGUUUUGAUUGUAUUUGCAUAUUUGUACCAGUAGCAUGAGCUGCAUUUUUGCCUCUGAAUUCUGUGAUCUAGUUUGACUGUGACAAGUCUGCAAAUUUUCUCCCAAGGUUUUUCCUUCAUCAUCAUUGACAUUGGUAAGUACGUCAAAUGAGUUUGACAUUGAAGGUAAAGUUGGAUUUUUUCCUGCGAUCUGAUUUUCAUUUUUGAUAUUUGGAGAUACUGCUUUGUUGGCCAUCGAUGACCAUUGUCCCUCUUCCCUUGUGUGUCGACGAUUAUCAGUAGAAUGUAAAGCAGAAUUUUCUUGAACCAGUGCAGCUUUAGAGACAGUAUCAGCUGCUGUACAUGUAAUGAUCCCAUUUCCUUGUUAGUCCCUGCCUUGCUGGUUAACAGUAUGUUGAAUGAGAGAGGUCUGUGCAGUAUCCUUAUCAUACUAAACUGUUGUUCUGUGGAUACCAUCCUUCACUGCUUCCUGGUUCCCAAUCUAUGAUGCAGCUCGAUCAAUAGAGCACUGCCUAGAAAAUGUAGUUGUUUCAUUUUGUACUAUCCAAUUAGCAGUGUUGGUAUCCCUUGUACCAGAUGCUGCAAAUUCCAAUUCGAUAACAUCACAUUGGAUAUCCAUUACUGCAUUUUGCCCAGUGCAUAUAUUGACAUCACUUGCUAUAUAUGGCUUAAUAAGUGGCUACACAUCAUCUAUGUGUAUGGAAUUGGGAUCGUGCCCUUUGCAUGAGUCAUUUGAAACUAUAAUAAAGGCUGAGGAUUUAAUUAAACCAUUACAUCCUGCAGUGACAGCAUGAUUUGCAACAGGUUUGGCAGGAUGCAGUAGCUCCAAAUUUUUGUCAUUUGCUUGACAAAAAAGUUUAGGUUUGUUAUUGUUAAUGUUGUGUAACAGCUGUUGCUGCUUAGAUACCAGUUGUUCAAUCAUGUUUGAGUUAUGAAAUGCAUUCUCAGUUUAUUGUUAAUGUUGUGUAACAGAUAUUGCUGCUCAGAUACCAGUUGUUCAAUCCUAUUUGAGUUAUGAAAUGCAUUCUCAGCUGAUGCAACAAUAGCCUUUGACACCACCUUUUCACUGGGAGCAUUCACAUUGGAUGGAACAGUAUAAGCAUUUUAACACAGCUAUGCUAUUUCAACAUUCUGCAUUGAAAGAUCUUCUGCAGCUAGAAUAGCUGGACCAGAAUCAUUAUUUUGACUUGCAUCAGAAGCCACAUUAGGAAUGAACCCAGCCAAAUUUGACAUCAGCUGUUCGCUGUGAUUGGAUGGAACAGUAGAUUGUCUUUUACAAAUAUGUGUUGUAUCAGCAUUUGGAUACACUUCUGUAGACAACACUUGUUCAUUUCUGUUUGCCUUAUGAUGUGAAGCCUCUGCAGCUGCAACUGUCAAUUUUGGCACCAUCUGUUCAUUGGAAACAUUAAAAUUGGAUUGAACUGUUGUUGGAUAUUUACACAGUUGUGCCAUAUCAGCAUUUAGUGUUGAAUGCGAUUCUGUAGCUGGAUUAGCUGGGAUAUAAUCCAUAUUUUGUCCUGCAUCUGUAUUCAAGUUAGGAAGAACCCCAGCCAAGUUUGAGAGCACCUGUUUACUAUUAACAUUCAAAACAGAAGAUGGUUUACACAGUUGUUCAGAAUCAGCAUUCGACAUUGAAUGUACUUCUUCAGCUGGAACUCCUAUAUCAGCAGUCACAAUAGGCAGAAUCCUUUCACUGCUUCUUGCUACAAGAUUAGCAUUUAGGUACUCUCUGGCAGCACCUCUCAGUUGAAACUCCUGCACCAGCAGUCACAAUAGGCAGCAACCUUUCACUACUUCUUGCUAAAAGAUUAGCAUUUAGGUAAUCUAUGGCAUCACCUCUUAGUUUUAUCAAAUUGCCCCGGCCUUCAGAAUCUCGAUCAAGUAAUGCUUGUUCAUUCAGUUCAUUUGUACUCCAACGACACGAUUUUACAUCAUGACCUUGAUGAUUACAAUACGUGCAGUAUUUAGGAAGGUUAUCAUAGACGAUCCGCUGGUCGUAUUCAACUAUUUUCCCAGAUUUGAUAUCAACUAUCUUGAUCUUUACUUUCUUUGGAUGUUUGUCGAGCAAAUUAAUCAAGACUUUUACUCGUGCCGUACUAGGUUUCAUUCGAUCUUUAGUAGCCUUAUCCACUGCUAGAGGCUUUCCCAUCGUGCGUACUAGGUCUCGUUCGAUCUUUAGUAGCCUUAUCCACUGCAAGAGGCUUUCCCACUGCAGUAGCAAUUGACAUUAAGGAUUUUUUUGCGAAGAAGUUUGCUGGCAGUUCAGGAAGAGAAAUCCAAACGACAGCUUUUGAUGUUUCUUCACGAGGAUUAAAUCCCAUUGUCCAUGGGAAUGUCCUGAAGAAAUAGUCGUCUCCUUUCGCCUUAACAUAGCCGGUUGUUCUUGAAACGACAUUCGCAAAAUCUUCAAAUAGAUCAAAUCUUACCAGAAUAUGUCGAUAUUCUAGCUGCCCUAUAUUACAAUUACCUUUGACAUCGAGUUGCUUUGGUAAGAUCUGUCUCAACUCCUGAAGCUCAGGUUUUCAAUAUGAGAAUUUAAUCACAACUGCUUGAAUGUUCUUGAAAUGACAUUUGCAAAAUCUUCAAAUAGAUCAAAUCUUACCAGAACAUGUCGAUAUUCUAGCUGACCUAUAUUGCAAUUUCCUUUGACUUCGAGUUGCUUCGGUAAAAUCUGUCUCAACUCCUGAAGCUCGGGUUUUCCAUAUGAGAAUUUAAUCACAAUUGCUUGUUGAAGACCUUCCUUCUUUGUGAAAGUAUUCACUUCAUCUACUGUGAAUUCAAAAGUAGGUAUUCCAUUCUCGACAGUAACAUGACAUAAUUCUAGAUUUGCGUUUGCUGCGACAGAAGGUUGUCGAACAAGUUGCGAUGCAUAAGAUUGAUUUGCAUCUUAAGCUAAUUAAAUUUCUGUACGGAUUUGAUUAUCCUCUCCCACAGCACAAAGCUGGGGAGAGGGUGAAGCUUCCAUAGUUGCGACGAGCUAUCCCGCAGCAAAAAGCUGGGGAGAGGGUGAAGCUUCCAUAUUUGCAACGAGCUUCAACCAGGAUCCAUCAUAAACAUCUGUCGGAAAAUCAGUAGCCCGAAUGCUAUAGUAAAUAUGAAAACAAGAUUUAAGAUGUAGGAAGAUUCGCUAAAGAUUUGAGGGAAAAAUCUAUUGGGGAUCGCUCGCAAAGAGAAGGGGAUGUCUUGACACCAAAAUUGUGAUAAUCCACCACCGAAUUCCAACAAUAUAUCAGAUGAAUAGUGACGGAGUACUAUUCACUAAAUAGUGACCGAUAGCAGAGAAUCCAAACAGUAAUUUGGCGCGAUGUUUGAGUGAGUUGCUGGUUUGUGAGUCUCGCAAUUGUUCGCGUGGGUAAAGAUUUUUAUCAAUUGAUAUGGUCUUUUCUUUAAAUUCUUAGAGUCGCUCCAUAGUCAUUCUUUUGGUAUCAUGAGUAUUAUUUGCUAUUGGUUUAAUGUUGAGUAUCGUUCUUUAGUAUUAAAGUUGGAGAUAAUUAGUAUUUUUGGUUGUUAGUUGGUGGUUUAGUCAAGGUGGAGACUUGUGAUGGUUAAUUUACAUGUUGUCAAUUGUUUGGUAUGAUAUUAGGAUGUUUGGUUGUUGAUUUGAGACAUGAAAAAGUUUUGGGAUGGUCCAAAAAUAAGGAAAACUCUGCCCGUUCUGUAAAAUUACCGACGAGGAUUACUAGGGAAAACUUACUCCUAAGCGACGGUCACAAUCCUAAAUUGGGUCGUGACACCAGUAUUCUGAUAUUGUAAUCAAUUAACCUCGAAUAGCUCUUAUGAAAAUGUGACGACCUAAAGGGUCAUCACCGUAAUUCUCUAUUUUCUUGCACUUCUGAGGCCUUGAAAACCUCUCACAAUCGAUUAUUUAAUAACUUUGAAAAAGUCUGGAAGUCACUGCCACAACACAAUCGAUUGUCAUAAGUUCACAAUCGAUUAUUUUGUGACUUUGAAAAAUCUGGACACUGUCUCUAAGUCUGGAAGUCACUGCCACAACACAAUCGAUUGUCAUAAGUUCACAAUCGAUUAUUUUGUGACUUUGAAAAAUCUGAAGGACACUGUCUCUUCAAUGGGUUACCUUGAUUUACGUGUGUAGUCCGGCCGCGAAGCCGGAACAUUUUUAUAUGAAAAUAUUUGAAUUCUGUGUUAAAAAUUAUGAAUUUUGAUACUAAUAUGGCUAUAGUUGACAUUGGUCAACGUUUUGGGUAAACGAACCUGGGUCUGUGAUGUGACGGUCCCGGAGGGUCCGUAAUGAAAUUUGGGACCGGGGCGUAUUCUCGAAAUCGAAAUUCGAGGUCCCAGGCCCGAGUUUGACGUGUUCCAGACUAAAAGUGGAAAAUUUGACAGUUUUGAACAUAGAAAUGAAAAAUCAUGAGUUUUGGAGGAUGAUUCUUUGCUUUUGAUGUUAUUUUGGCUAUUCGAUUGCUCGAGCAAUUUCGUAGUAUAAUAUUGAGUUAGUGUGUGUGUUUAGUUAGGAUCCCGAGGGCUCGGGGGCGAUAUCGAGGUGUUUCGGGGUGUUUUGAAACUUAGGAAAAUACCAGAAUUUUCAAACAGUUGUUGCAAAGCCUUUCCUCUUCGCAAACAUGGCACUCGGCUCGUGUUCGCGUAGCCCAAAAUCCUCUACCCUUCGCGAUCACGUCCAACACCACGCGUUCGCAUAGCUUAGCCUCACCCUUCACCGCGUUUGCGUGUCUAUUUCCGCGUUCACGUAGAGAUACCCCAUGACCCCCUGCUUUCCUUCUUCGCGUUCGCGUAGACUCCAUCGCGAACGCGAUACCUUAUCAAACCCCAUCAUCGCGAACGCGACCCAGGUGUCGCGAUCGCGAAGCACAAAAUGGUUCAGUAAAAUAUUUAAUUCUAGCACUGUUCAUUACGGGAUUUCAUUCAUCUCUCAAACGAACUCUCCUCCUUCACUCUCCAUUGACUAACUUCAAGCUCCUAUUUCACCAUAACUCUUUGGGUAAGUGAUUCCAACUUCUUCCUUCCAUUAUUUCUUCAUCCAAUCAUUAAUUUUGUAGCCCUAAAUCAUGAAAUCAAAGUAGAAUUUAGGGGUUUUGGGUUUAGCAACGGUUUAUGGGAUUUUGGGUAUUUCAACCUCAAUUUGAGGUCGAAUUUAAAUCUAAUUAUAUAUUUGAACUUGUGGGAUUAUGGGGGAUUGGGUUUUGGUUCGAGCCUCGAGUUUUGACCACGUGGGCCCAGUGUCUGAUUUUAGUAUUUUUGAAAGUAAGCUAGGAAAUGCAUUUCUAUGCCAUGUGAUUUUGUUUUUGGAUUCUUAUUGAUAAUAUUGAAUCAAUUUAUGUUAGAUAUCGUUGGUUCGGGGUCNNNNNNNNNNNNNNNNNNNNNNNNNNNNNNNNNNNNNNNNNNNNNNNNNNNNNNNNNNNNNNNNNNNNNNNNNNNNNNGGAAAGGCGAUUGUUGAGCUUUGAGUUGCUAUUUUCGGAUUCGAGGUAAGUGUUCGAUCUAACUUUGGCUUGAGGGAAUAGGAUUAUGUUGUUAUUUGUUAUGUGCUAUGUGGGGUCGGUGCAUAGGUAUGAUGACGGUUACCUAUGCGCCCCAGUCAAGCAGGACUGUGAUGUCAUAUUUGCUAUUAAAUUGUGAAGUAAGUGAAAAAUUGUGAUAAUUACUUGUUACAAGAACUAUGAAGUGAAAGUUGAGGAUAUAAUGAACUAAAGAGGACAAUUUGUUGACUUGUAUUCCCUUGUCGGGACCUAUUGUUUUGUUGUAUUUCCCUUGCCGGGACCAUUUGUUGAAUUAUUCUCCCUUGCCGGGAUAUUUUUCCUUGAUAUAUAUAUUUCUUUGUUUCCAUUUGACUGUGACCAUUGAUUGGGAAAGGAAUUGAGAGUAAAAGCAUGAAGGGUGAUGACGUGCACUGUUUAUUAAGAGUAAAAGCACGAAGGGUGAUGUCGUGCACAGUUAAUCGAUAGUAAAAGCAUAAAGGGUGAUGUCCUGCCUUGCAUUUUAUAUUCUUGGUGAGAAAUGAGAGAAAAAUCACGAAGGAUGAUGCUGGGCAUUAUAUUUGGCUACUUUGGUAAAGAAUGAGAGUAAAAGCACGAAGGCUGAUGUCGUGCAGUUGUUGAUCCAUUGGCUUUCUUAUUUAGUUAUUAUUUAUUCAGUUUCAUCUCUUGAUUGUAGAAGUUAUAGUUGAACUGCUACUCCUCCAGCAUGUCCUAUUCCCCUUUUAUUUUCUUAAUCCUUGCUCUCUUUCUGUUAUUGCAUAUAUCUGUACAGGUUGGUUGUGGUAGGUCCGGUUUAGCCUUGUCACUACCUCGCCGGGGUUAGACCGGGCACUUACCAGCACAUGGGGUCGGUUGUGCUGACACUACGCUUCUGUGCCUUUUGUGCACAUGUCAGGAUACAGCCUGCGGACCGCAGCUAUAGUUCAUGAGUGAUCCUUCAAUCCAGAGACUCUAAGGUAGUUCGCUGGCGUUUGCGGGCCCCGAGUCUCCCUUAUCUUAUCUUUUCAGUUUGUUUUAUUUGUAUCAAACAGACAUAUGAUGUAUUUCUUUCAGACUACUUUUUUUAGUACUUUUUAGUUCUCCGUAAGUAGUGACACCAGAUACUGGGUAGAGACAUGUUGUUAGUUUUCCGCAUCUUGUUUUCGUUAUUGUUAUUAAAAGACUUCCGCAUAUUUUUAUUUAAUUGUUUUUAGUAUUUAACUCGUUUAGAUUUAUUAUAUGUGAAAUAGAUCAUAAAGGUUGGCUUGCCUAGCUUCGACAGUAGGCGCCAUCACGACUCCCGAUGGUGGAUAAAUCCGGGUUAUAACUAGUUGAUAUCAGAGCACUAGGUUACUUGGGUCUCACAACUCACGGACAAGCUCGGUAGAGUCUGAGGGGUUGGUAUGGAGACGUCUGUAUUUAUCCCCCAAAGGCUACAGAGCAAGGAAAAGUUUCACUUUGUUCACUCUUGUCGUGCGAUUCUGUUUCUCAAAUAUUGAUUGUUGUUCUACUCUGUUCUUUCGCAGAUGGCGAGAACACGUGCACCUUCUUCUUCCGCGUAGCAGCCCGAGCCCCCAGCAGCACUCCCGUAGAGGCAGGGGCCGAGGUGGGGCCUGAGGCCGUGGUAGGCGCAGAGCUCAGUCCCAGGCACCAGUUCCAGAAGUGGAGCCGCAUAUUCACUUUGAUGAGGAGGUUCUAGCUCCACCCGCUCCAGUGGGCCCAGCUCAGGUCCCAGGAGGAGUGAUGUUUUCUUCAGAUCUUUAGGGUGCUAUUGUCUGCAUAGAAGGCUUUAUGGACAGUGUUGCUAGAGCGGGAUUGCUGCCAGUAUCACCAGCCACUUCUCGGGCUGGAGGAGGGGUUCAGACUCCUGUUACACGUACUCCGGAGCAGGUGGCUUCCAGACUCAGGUUCCACUGGUUCAGCCAGCAGUGGAAGCUUAGACAGGCAUUACAGCUCAAGCCGGAGAUUGGACAGCCAUGUCUUCGGAUGCUUUGUGGAGGCUUUAUCACUUCUCCAAGAUUUUCACAACUACCUUCUGCGGUGCUUCAUCAGAGGAUCCCCAGGAUUUUCUACAAUUGUCAUGAGAUCCUCAGGACUAUGGGGAUAGUAGAGACUAAUGGGGUUGAUCUUUGCAGUUUCAGGCUUGUGGGUUCCGCCAAGACUUGGUUGAGGGAUUUCUGCUUAUCUAGGCCAGAAGGGUCACCACCUUUGACAUGGGAUCAGUUUGCAGAGAUAUUUUUGGAGAAGUUUCUCCCCAUCACUCAGCGGGAGGCACUUCGCAGAUAGUUUGAGCAUCUUCAGCAGGGCUCCAUGACGGUUACACAGUAUGAGACUAGAUUUGUUGACUUGGCAAGUCAUGCAGUAGUGAUACUCCCUAUAAAUCGGGAGAGAGUCCGGAGGUUUAUUAAUGGAUUGAUUAUGCUCAUUCGCCUACAGAUGGUUCGGACAAGAGGCCUCGACAUUCUGGAAGAUUUAGUGGUACCUCAUCUAGAGGUAGGGAUUUCUAUGACAGAGGCCAUCCUCCGAGACCGUUCUAGUCGGCUCUUCAGGUUUCUCAUGGUACGACAGGCGAUGGUGGCCACCACCAGUAUUAUUCAGACCAAUAGUCUUUUAGGGUACCUCCAGCCCCCAUCAGUGCAUUGCCACUUCAGAGCUUCAGGGGAGGACAUACCGGUCGGCAAGGCCAGCAGUCUCAUCCAUCGAGGGCAUGUUAUUGUUGUGGUGACACAGGUCAUAUUGUCAGAUUUUGCCCUCGAGCCUCGAGUAGUUCUCAGCGGCAGGGUCCUCGCCCUAAGAUUCAGGCAGCAUGUGAUCCACAGGUUGCCCAUCCAGUUAGAGGCGGGGGUAGGUAUCAUAGAGGUGGAGGGAGAGACCGUAGAGGUGGAGCCCAGAUACUUUUUAGUUGGCAGCAGGUGAUCCACAGUCCACCCGGCCAGCUAGAGGCGGGGGUAGGUAUCAUAGAGGUGGAGGGAGAGACCGUAGAGGUGGAGCCCAGAAAGCCAUAGGUAGGGGUCAACCCGCAGCAGAUCGUCCUAGGGAUGCAGUUUAGGGAGCUGGGGGGCAGCUUCGUUGUUAUGCAUUGCCAGCCAGGAUGAAGGCCGAGUAGUCUGAUGCAGUGAUUACAGGUACUAUACUGGUCUGUGAUAGGGGUGCUUCGAUAUUAUUUGAUCCGGGAUCUACUUAUUCUUAUGUUUCAUCCUAUUUUGCACCCUAUUUGAGGCUAUGGGUAUUCCUACAUAUGUAUCCACACUGGUGGGUGUUUCUAUAGUGGUCGACCGAGUGCAUCACUCUUGUGUAGUGGUAUUUGAGGGUCUUGAGACCCAUGUCAAUCUAUUGCUUCUAGAUAGGGUGGACUUCUAUGUUAUGUUAGGGAUGGACUGGUUGUCCCCGUAUCAUGCUAUCUUGGAUUAUCACACCAAGACCGUGGCUUUGGCCUUGCGUGACUUGCCCCAACUUGAGUGGAGAGGUCCCCAGGUCAUGCCACCGGUAGUGUUAUUUCGUAUGUCAAGGUUCGACAUAUGGUCGAGAAGGAGUUUUUAGCAUAUUUGGCGUAUGUUCGCGACUCCAGCGUAGAGGUUCCAUCUAUUGACUCUGUUCCUAUUGUUCGAGAGUUCCCUGAGGUUUUUCCUUCAUACCUGCCGGGUAUGCCUCCCGACAGAGAUAUUGAAUUCUGUAUUAAUUUGGCUCCUAGUACUCAGCCUAUUUCUAUUCCGCCAUACCGUAUGGCCCCGCCAGAGUUGAAUGAGUCGAAGGAACAACUUCAGGACUUGCUUGAUAAGGGUUUCAUUAGACCCAGUGUAUCACCUUAGGGUGCGCCAGUGUUGUUUAUCAAGAAAAAGGAUGGUUCGAUGAGUAUGUGCAUUGAUUAGCGGCAGUUGAACAAGGUGACGAUAAAGAACAAGUAUCCACUGCCAAGGAUUGACAAUUUUUUUUACCAGCUCCAGGGUACCAGGGUGUUUUCGAAGAUAGAUUUAAGUUCUGGUUAUCAUUAGCUGAGGAUUAGGGCGUCUGAUGUCCCUAAGACAGCAUUUCGUACUCGGUAUGGGCAUUAUGAGUUUCUGGUCAUGUCGUCUGGGUUGACCAAUGCCCCACCAGCAUUCACGGAGUUAAUGAACCGAGUGUUCAAGCCUUUCUUGGAUCUAUUUUUGAUUGUAUUCAUUGAUGAUAUCUUGGUAUACUCUCGAAGCCAGGAGGAGCAUGAGUGGCACCUCAUUGUGGUUCUUUAGACUCUGAAGGAUAGCCAGUUGUACACCAAAUUCUCAAAGUGCAAAUUUUGGUUGAGUUCUGUAGAAUUCCUGGGUCAUUUUGUAUCAGCAGAGGGUAUUCAGGUGGACUCGAAGAAGAUAGAGGCAGCCAAGAACUAGCCUCGACCAGCUUCAGCUAUAGAGAUUUGGAGAUUAUUGGGUUAGCUGGUUAGUACAGACGUUUUGUGGAGGGGUUUUCAUCCAUCGCAGCCCCGAUGACUAGAUUGACUCAGAAGGGUGCCCAGUUUAUGUGGUUAGAUGAGUGCGAGGUGAGCUUUCAGAAGCUCAAGACAGCUCUGACCACGGCGCCGGUAUUGAUCUUGCCUGCGGGAUCUGGGCCUUAUACUGUAUAUUGUGAUGCUUCCCGCAUCAUACCUGGCGCACUGUUGAUGCAGAACGGAAAGUUUAUAGCAUAUGUUUCGAGGUAGUUAAAUAUCCACGAGAAAAAUUAUCCAGUUCAUGACUUAGAGCUGUAUGGUGUGACGUGUAAGGUGUACACGGAUCCCAAGAGCCUUCAGUACUUGUUUAAGCAGAAAGAGUUGAAUUUGAGACAGUGGCGGUGGUUGGAGUUAUUAAAAGAUUAUGAUGUUUCUAUUAUAUACCACCCAGGGAAGGCCAAUGUGGUGGCCGAUGCCUUGAGUAGAAAGUGCGCCAGCAUGGGUAGUCUUGCAUAUAUUCUGGUAAGCCAGAGACUGCUCGCCUUGGAUGUUCAGGCCUUGGCCAAUAGAUUUGCGAGAUUGGAUAUUUCUGAGCCCAGCAGGGUGUUAGCUUGAAUGGUGGAUCGCUCGUCAUUGAUGGAGCGUAUCCGGGAGCAGCAGUUUGAUGAUCCCCAUUUGUGUAUCCUGAGAGACACGGUGCAGAGGGGAGAUGCCAAGGAGAUGACUUUGGGAGAUGAUGGCAUAUUGAGGUUGCAGGGGCGAGUUUGUGUGCCNNNNNNNNNNNNNNNNNNNNNNNNNNNNNNNNNNNNNNNNNNNNNNNNNNNNNNNNNNNNNNNNNNNNNNNNNNNNNNNNNNNNNNNNNNNNNNNNNNNNNNNNNNNNNNNNNNNNNNNNNNNNNNNNNNNNAAAGAUGGUAUUCGAGAGUCGAUCUUAGCGGAGGCCCAAAGUUCUCGGUAUUUUAUUCACCCGAGCGCCACGAAGAUGUAUUAGGAUUUGAGACAGCAUUAUCAGUGGCGUAGAAUGAAGAAAGACAUUGUUGCAUAUGUGGCUCGUUGUCUAAAUUGUCAGCAGGUUAAGUUCGAGCAUUAGAGGCCUGGUGGGUUAUUUCAAAGGAUUGAGCUUCCCGAGUGGAAGUGGGAGAGGAUCACUGUGGAUUUUGUUACUGGACUUCCGAUGACUCGGAAGAAGUUUGAUGUUAUAUGGGUUAUUGUUGAUAGACUAACUAAGUCAACGCAUUUUAUUCUAGUUUCCACCACCUAUUCAGCUGAAAGGUAUGGUAAGAUUUAUAUAAGGGAGAUCGUUCGCCUUCAUGGGGUGCCCAUAUCAAUUAUUUCGGAUCGGGGUCCGGAGUUUACCUCGUAUUUCUAGAGAGCGAUGCAGCAUGAGUUGGGUACCUAGGUUUAGUUGAGCACACCAUUUCACCUCCAGACUGAUGGUCAGUCCGAGAGGACCAUUCAGAUUCUUAAGGUUAUGCUCUGAGCCUGUGUUAUUGAUUUUGGAGGCUCGUGGGACCAGUUCUUGCCUUUAGCAGAGUUUUCCUACAACAACAGCUACCAGUCUAGUAUUCAUUUGGCUCCUUAUGAGGCGUUGUAUGGUAGGCGCUGUUGCUCCCCACGUGGAUGGUUUGAGCCAGGAGAGGCUCAGUGUUUAGGUACAGACUUGGUACAUGAGGCCUUGGAUAAGGUCAAGAUCAUUCAGGACAAAGUUCGGUCGGCUCAGUCUAGGUAGAUGAGUCUUGCAGAUCGUAAGGUCAAGGAUGUUGUUUUCAUGGUUGGUGAGCGAGUAUUGCUCCGUGUAUCGCCUAUGAAAGGCCUGAUGAGGUUUGGGAAGAAGGGAAAUCUUAGCCCUAUGUAUAUUGUCCCACUUGAGAUUCUGGACCGUGUGGGGAAUGUGGCUUAUAGACUUGCAUUGCCGCCUAGCUUGUCAGGAGUGUUGUCUAUGAAGGGCGUGAUAAGAUUCGGGAAGAAGGGCAAGAUUAGACCUAGGUUCAUUGGCCCAUUUGAGAUUUUUGUUCGUGUGGGAGAGGUGGCUUAUAAACUUUCCGUGCCGCCUAGCUUGUCAGUUGUGCAUCAAGUUUUUCAAGUAUCCAUGCUUUGGAAGUAUCAUGGUGAUCCCACCCACGUGUUAGAUUUUAGUACUGUCCAAUUGGAGAAGGAUCUGUCAUAUGAGGAGGAGCCGGUGGCUAUUUUAGACCGGCAUGUUAGAUAGUUGAUAUCGCGGAGUUUUCCUUCAGUGCAUGUUCAGUGGAGAGGUCAGCCUCUUGAGGCAUCGACCUGGGAGUCCGAGUCUGAUAUGCAGAGCCGUUAUCCCCACACAUUCCCCGACCCAGGUACUUCCUUAUUUUGUCUGUUCGGGGAUGAACGGUUGUUUUAGAGGUGGAGGAUGUGAUGACCCAAAAGGUCAUUACCGUAAUUCUCCAUUUCCUUGCACUUCUAAGGCCUUGAAAACCUCUUAUUGGGUAGCUUCGAUUUGCAUGCGCACUACAUACGCGAAGCUGGAACAUUUUUAUGUGAAAAUAUUUGAUUCUGUGUUAAAAACUAUGAAUUUUGAUACUAAUAUGGCUAUAGUUGACUUUGGUCAACGUUUUGGGUAACGGACCUGAACCCAUAAUGUGACGGUCCUGGAGGGUCCGUAAUGAAAUUUGGGACCCGGGCUGUAAGGCCCCGUCAAAAUGAGUGCUCAGAUGUUAGCAGAUUAUAGAUUCGAGUAUAACCAUGUGGAUCCGAUCCUUUUUACUAUUUCGAACUUGAAAAUGUGAAAUCGAAAUUUUUCCAGAAAAUUAUCAAAAAUGCGGUCCAGAAUGCAGUCGUAGAUCAGCUAUGCGGAACGCAUUCCUCCGCAUAGUGAAUCAGAGAGCAACCAAAUUUUGAUGAUGAAAAUGCGGUCAAAUCUGCGAUCGCAUAAUCAAUAUGCGGACCGCAGAGUAAUUGCAUAUUCUCCUAGAAGAAAUUCUAAGUUCAGUUCUGCGGUGCAUUCUACGACCGCAGAACUUAAAUGCGGACCACAUGUCCACCGCAUUCCCAACUCGAGAGGUUUGAAGUUUGAGCUAUUUCUGCGAUCGAUUCUGCGGACCGCAUGUAUGUUCUGCCAUCGUAGAGCUGCAUCACAGAUUGAGCUCGCCCAGUUAUUUUCUAAAAAUAUAGGCUCGACCCCUCUUUAAUAAAAAUACCCCAUCACUCAUUUUUAACCCAUUUUCUGAACAACAUAAGAGAGUGGAAGAGAGGUUCCUAGAGAGAGAAAGCAAAUUCUUCAUCAAUUGAUCUUUCAAAACCGUUAGAGCUUAGAAAAAUUCUUGGUGCAUUGUCUUCUCUAUUGAUUUCUCAGGUAAAAAAAACCCUAACCUAUUUCCCCCAAAUUUCAAAAUUAAGCUUGGGAAAGGACCCCGUACACUUGCUUUAAAAUUCCUCAUAAAAUCUUCAUGCGUGUCUUCAAAACUCUAAAAUCUUGUAAAAAGAGAAUUGGGUAGUAACUAUGGGUCUAAAUUUCUAAAACCUAAGUGGUGUUCAUGAACUAAAUUUAUUUCUCGAUUGCUUGGCGAAUUGGACUAGAGGUUUAAAAGGGAAUAAUCAACUCCAGGUAUGUAUGGCUAACUGUGAUCCUUGUGAAAUCGCCCUGUGUUAGUUGUGAAAUUUUUNNNNNNNNNNNNNNNNNNNNNNNNNNNNNNNNNNNAUGCUAGUUGGUUUAAAAGGGAAUAAUCAACUCCAGGUAUGUAUGGCUAACUGUGAUCCUUGUGAAAUCACCCUAUGCUAGUUGUCAAAUUGUUCAUAGUUGAUAUUCAUGUGAGAAUCAUUGUGAAGCUUUGUGUGAUAUGAUUGUGUGGUAACACUUUGUGGUGAAUGUUGUGGAACUUGUAAUUGGAACAACAGUAAUGGAAAUAAUGUGGAUUAGUGGUAAUGGAUGUAAUGUGGAACAAUGGAAAUAGAAAUAUUGUGGAACAACGUGUGUGAUUAGUUGUGAAUAACUUUUGUGAUGGUCUAAAUUGUGUACCAAUUUGAUGAACAUGAGGAUAUUAUUGUUGCUAGUUGUGGAAUUGCAUUACCCUUGUUGUGGAUCUAUGUUAACAAUAAGCCAUAGUUAAUUUCUUGUAUUUGUUGUUGUGCUGGUUGUUGUUGUGACUUGAAAACAGUCAGGCAGGGUCGGGUUGUGCGCCGCAACACGGUGAAAUAAGGUGUGGGUUGGGGUGAUAAGAGUGGCCGAGGUAAUAAGGGUGGACGAGCCAGUAAGGGUGGAAAAUGUGAUCAAAUAUCAUUGUUGAUAUGAAUGUGAAUCAUGAAAUGAUAAAUGUGAAAAUGUGAAAGGAGAUGGCAGGAGAUUUUGUAACCUGUGGGGCACUUAUUUCCCCUUUGUAUGACUACUUGAAUCAUUUGUUGUGAAAUUUUUGGUUGUUGCUUCAUGGUUGUACUUGUACUAUUGUUGUUCAGUUCUAUAUUUGAAUAUGCAAUUUGUCUUAAGUUUACUUGGGACAGAGUUUGUUCAUACAUGCCAGUACAAUUCAAAUGUACUGAUGCCCCUUUUGCGGGGGGCGCUACAUUCGUGUUAUGAUUGUAGGUGGAUCUGUAGCUGGCACUCCAGUCCAUCGUUCGUAGCUCCUCCUCCUCUCUAUUGGUGGUAUUCGUGUUAGUGAGCCCCUUUCCUUCCGGGGCCUUGUAUGGCUCAUGCCACAUAUGUUGUUAUAUUUUGGAGUCUUGUGUCCUUUUGUAAAGGUAUAGUCGGGGUCUUGUCGCCGGCAAGUGUUGUACUAUCUUUCUCUUAGAGUCUCCGUAGACAGUGGUAUGUGGGUUAGAACUUAUGUAUAAAGGUGUAUGUCUUGGGCACUGUAAAACUUGUAUACCAUGUUCCCUUUUAAUGAUAAUUUGUGGUUAUAAAAGAGAAAUCAUAUGUUCUUUCGUUUGCAAAAUUUAGUAUCUUUUGGCUAAUUAUCAUUGAAUAAUGUGUGGUAACGCGUGAGGAAUAGGAAAGGCACCCAGGUCCACUCGACUGGGGAUACCCGGUUGAGUGCCGGUCAUGCCCUCGGAGUUAGGGCGUGACAAAUAUGGUAACCCAGGUUCACUCGACUGUGGAUACCCGGUUGAGUGCUGGCCAUGCCCUCGGAAUUAGGGCAUUACAAACUUGGUAUCAUAGUCUAAGGUUUCAAAGGAGCCCUAGGAUGUCUUGGUGUGUUGUCGGCCACAUCUAUAAGUUGGGGGCUACACGGGCAUUUAGGAAAAAUGAUCCUGUUCUUUGUUAUUCCAAGUUCGUGCGGUGAAGUGCUAAUUUGUGCUCUUUAUCGAAUUUUCAGUGAUGGCAACUAAGAAGAAAGCUAGACUUGGACGAGGGGCCAAUGCCACUUCCAGUGCGACUGUGGAUCAUGUGCUAACUAUCGUGGGUGAGAAUGAUUCCCCGGUUCUGAAUUUGCCUACUCCAUCCGUUCCUGAUCCAAGCAAUCAUGUUCCAGCAACAGCUGAGGGUGCUACUAUCCCUCCUGCCAAUGCUCCUAAUCCUGAUGUUUCUCCAGCUUCCAAUCCCGGGAUUUUUAAUGGAGACCUUAGGGGAGCAAUCCGCAUGUUGACCCAGUCUGUGGCUACCCAAGCCCAGAGAUCUUAUAAUGCCCCUAUGUCCUCCAUUGGACAGGGAGAUUCCUCCAGAUCCAGAGUCCAUAAAUAUUUGCAACUGAAUCCUCCAUAGUUCUCAGGCACAGACACAGAGGCCGAUCCGCAAGAAUUCCUUGAUGAGAUGUACAAGGCCCUUCGAGUGAUGAAGUCUAAAGAGAUAGAAGGGGUAGAAUUGGCUUCAUAUAGGUUGAAGGGGGUUGUGCGUUCGUGGUUCGAGAUGUGGGAGGAUUACCGUGAGGAGGGGAGCCCUCCGGCUAGAUGGGAUGAGUUAGUAGAUGCCUUCAUGGACCACAUUUUGCCUACCGAGACCAUGGCAGCCCGGGCCACUGAGUUUGAGGUUCUUAAGCAUGCUAGCAUGAGUUUUUGGGAGUAUCAUAUGGAGUUCGUGAGAUUUUCCAAGUAUGAUCCUAAGUUGGUGUUGAUUAUGGAGGCCAAAGUUCGGCGAUUUGUUCAGGGUCUCAGCUCAUUGGGUGUAAAUGAGGCAGCUACAACGGCGUUGCAUUCAGACAUGAACUAUGGGAAGAUCGUGGGUUUUCAUCAAGCCACAGAGGCCAGGAAGUUGAAGAUUCGGGCAGACAGGGAGAGUAGCAACAAGGCCCGGUCUAUGGGUCACUCAGGGAGGUCAUCUCCAGGGAGAGGUCAUUAGGACCAUCUCAGUCUUAUGCUCAUUCCUCAGCCAGUGCACCGCUAUCUAUGCACCAUUUCCAAUAGAGUAGCCCUUCGGGGCCAUGUUCAGACAGUAGGAAGGUAUAUGCCCCAAGUGUGGGAGAUUUCAUACAGAGGCCUGUUACUUGGAUUCUCCAGUGUGUUACAAUUAUGGGGUGAGAGGUCACAAACAGCGGGACUCCCGUGCUCCCGGGUAGGGCACGAGUAGGAGACUCGCUCAGCCAUCCAGUGCAGCCAAAGGUGGAGCUCGUUGUAGGGGCGGACCCAGCAGGUUUUAUGCAUUGAAAGGCCGUCAGAGUGCUAAGGCUUCCCUAGAUGUUGUCACAUGUAUCCUAUCUGUUCAGACCUUUGAUUUCUAUGCUCUUAUUGAUCCGGGGUCUUCUUUGUCCUAUGUCACUCCAUUUAUUGCAUCGAGUUUUGGGAUUGAACCCGAGCAUCUUCUUAAAUCCUUCUCUGUAUCGACUCCGGUAUAUGAUUCUAUUACAGUCGAGCGGGUCUAUAGGAAUUGUGUUGUUAUGGUAGUUGGUCGUGUUAGCACGGCUGACCUUAUCGAGCUUGGGAUGGUGGAUUUUUAUAUAAUCAUGGGGAUGGAUUGGCUCUAUUCGUGCUUUGCCAAACUUGAUUGACGGACAAGAGUCAUGAGACUCGAGUUCCAUAAUGAGUCGGUUGUUGAGUGGAAAGGAAAUGGUGUGGUACCGAAGGGUAGGUUUAUUUCCUACCUCAAGGCUUUGAAGAUGAUCAAGAAGAGGUGUAUCUAUCAUUUAGUCCGGGUGGUAGACACUACUCCAAAGGUUCAUGCCCCCGAGUCCGUGCCAGUUGUGAAUGAAUUUCUUGAGAUAUUUCCAGAUGAUCUUCCAGGAAUUCCGCCAGAUAGGUAGAUUGAUUUUAGGAUUGAUGUAUUGCCAGAUACUCAGCAAAUAUCUAUUCCACCAUACAGAAUGCCGCCAGUAGAGUUGCGAGAGUUAAAAGAGAAGUUGAAGGAUUUAUCCGGCCAAGUGUGUCGCCUUGGGGUGCUCCGGUUUUGUCAGAAACAAGAAUGGGUCACUUCGGAUGGGUAUCGAUUAUCGGCAGCUUAAUAAAGUCACCAUAAAAAAAAUAAGUACCCUUUGCCUCGAAUAGAUGAUUUGUUCGAUCAAUUACAAGGUGCAAGGUUCUUCUCCUAAAUUGAUUUGCGGUCCGGAUACCACCAAUUGAAGAUCAGAGAGCUGGAUAUUCCUAAGACCGCUUUCAGGACGCGAUAUGGCCACUUUGAGUUCUUGGUCAUGUCUUUUGGGCUAACCAAUACCCCGAAAUAUUUUAUGGACCUUACGAAUCGGGUAUUCAAGUCAUUCUUGGACUUCUCCGUGAUUGUUUUCACUGACGACAUUCUCGUAUAUUCGCAGAAUAGGGAGGAUCAUGCCAGUCACCUCAGAGAGGUUUUUUGCAGAAUCUACAUCAGCACCAAUUGUAUGCCACGUUUUCCAAAUAUGAAUUUUGGUUGGAGUCUGUCGCUUUUUUUGUCAUGUUGUUUCCACUGAGGGGAUUCAGGUGAACCCCAAAAGAUUUCAGCGGUGAAGGAUUGACCUAGGCCCACGACCCCGACGGAGAUCCGUAGCUUUUUGGGGUUAGGAGGGUAUUAUUUGAUGUUUGUAGAGGGAUUCUCCACCCUCGCUUCUCCUUUGACUAAUUUGAUGCAGAAAUAAGCUAAAUUCCAGUGGUCAGAUGCUUGUGAGAAAAGUUUUCAGGAAUUGAAGUCAAGGUUGACUUCGGCACCAGUAUGGGCCUUGCCAGAAGGCACAGAGGGGUUUUUUUGUUUAUUGUGAUGCCUCCAGGGUUGGUCUCGGGUGUGUUCUGAUACAGCACGGGAAGGUUAUAACAUAUUCUUCAAAGUAACUCAAUAAUCACGAGAAGAAUUAUCCGAUGCAUGAUUUGGAACUUGUAGCAGUUGUGUUCGCCUUGAAAAUAUGGAGGCAUUAUCUUUAUGGGGUUCAUGUAGAUGUGUUUUCAGAUCACAAGAGUUUUCAGUAUUUAUUCAAGCAGAAGGAGCUAAAUUUGAGGCAGCGGCGAUGGUUAUAAUUUAUUAAAUAUUAUGAUAUGGACAUCUUGUACCAUCCAGGGAAGGUGAACGUGGUGGCCGACGCCCUCAGUCUAAAAUCCAUGGGUAGUUUGGCUCGCUUGAGAGUGGAUCAGUGGUUCCUACCUCGGGAGGUACAUCAGUUGGCUAGCCUUGGGGUUUGUAUCUCUGCCCCGAAUGAGGAGGAACUUAUAGUGCAUAAUACAGUAGAAUCGUUGCUCGUGGCAGAGGUUAAAUAAAAGCAGUUUGUUGAUCCAGCAUUGGCACAAUUGAAGGAGGCAGCUCUAAGUAACAAAAUUUCAGCAUUUUCACUCGGCAGCAAUGAUGGUGUGCCACGGUGCCACGACAGGUUAUGUGUCCCAGAUGUGGAUAAUCUUCAGGAGAGGGUAAUGUCAGAGGCUCAUCAUUCCAGGUAUUCAGUGCACCAGUCUCUACAAAGAUGUAUCACGAUCUCAAGGAUAUCUAUUGGUGGAGUGAUAUGAAGAAAAGUGUACAGACUUCAUCUCUAAGUGCCCAAAUUUCCAGCAAGUGAAGGCCGAGCAUCAGCAGCCGGGAGGGUUAACUCAACUUAUAGAAAUAAUAAUAUGGAAAUGGAAAAUGAUCAAUAUGGACUUCGUGAAAGGAAUACCUCAUACUCAACACAAGUUCGACUCAAUUUGGGUAAUUGUAGAUAUGCUCACCAAAUCAGCUCACUUUUUUCCGGUCAAGUCCACCGAUACUGGAGAAGAAUAUGCUGGGUUGUAUAUCAAGGAGAUAGUAAGGCUUCAUGGUACACCACUUUCUAUCAUUUCGGAUUGAGGAGCUUAGUUUACAGCUAACCUCUGGAGGAACUUUCAGCAGGGUUUGGGUACUCAAAUGAAUCUCAGCACAGCUUUUCAUCGCAGACCGAUGGCCAAACGCUCGAGGAUAUGUUGCAGGCAUAUGUCUUGGAUUUCAAAGGAAUUGGGAUGAUCACCUGCCCCUUAUAGAGUUUGCUUAUAAUAACAGCUUCCAUGCUAGCAUCCAAAUGGCCCCAUUCGAAACAUUGUACGGAAGAAGGUGUAGGUCCCCGAUCGGAUGGUUCGAGGUUGGUGAAGCGGAAUUAAUAGGGUAAGAUCUUGUGCACCAGGCCAUGGAAAAGUAAAGUCAUUCAGGAGAGAAUGAAGACUGCUCAAAGUCGCAAGAAAUCCUACGCGGACGUGCGUCGAACAGAAUUGAAGUUUCAAGAAGGAGAUUGGGUAUUUUUGAGGGUGUCUCCUAUGAAAGGAGUCAUCUGCUUUGGGAAGAAGGGAAAACUAAGUCCUACGUAUGUAAGGCCUAAUCAAAUCACUCAAAGGAUCGGUCAAGUUGCGUAUAGGUUUGAAUUGACCCCUAAAAUGUCUCUAGUGCACCCUGUGUUUCAUGUAUCCAUGUUUAGGAAAGUUGUGGGUGAUCCAUCUAAAAUUGUGCCCGUAGAAAACAUCAAGGUUACAGAAGAGUUAUCAUAUGAGGAGAUUCCGGUUGCUAUUCUGGAUAGGCAUGUCCGAAAGGUUCGAAACAAGGAGAUUGCUACAGUUAAAGUCUUGUGGUGAAACCAAUGAGUCGAGGAAUCCAUGUGGGAAGCAGAAGAUGCGAUGAAGAUAAAAUACCCACAUCUAUUCGAAUAAGUUAGAAACGAUCGUGCGAAUCUUGUCCCUAGGAGAGCUAAUGUUGUGUUCUGUUAGGUGUAAGACUCAUCCUUUCUCUUUCCAAGUGCCUUAUUGUUGUAGUUUCUCCAAGUUGNNNNNNNNNNNNNNNNNNNNNNNNNNNNNNNNNNNNNNNNNNNNNNNNNNNNNNNNNNNNNNNNNNNNNNNNNNNNNNNNNNNNNNNNNNNNNNNNNNNNNNNNNNNNNNNNNNNNNNNNNNNNNNNNNNNNNNNNNNNNNNNNNNNNNNUGUAAGGUGAUGCAUGGAGGUAAUAAUUAAUUUUGCAUGGAGACUGUGUAUCAAGAUGUUCUUGUUGUGUAAUGAUUAGUUUUUGCAUGAAGGAAUUGUAUUGAAAUGAAUAACUGUGUUGUACCCNNNNNNNNNNNNNNNNNNNNNNNNNNNNNNNNNNNNNNNNNNNNNNNNNNNNNNNNNNNNNNNNNNNNNNNNNNNNNNNNNNNNNNNNNNNNNNNNNNNNNNNNNNNNNNNNNNNNNNNNNNNNNNNNNNNNNNNNNNNUGAUUAUAUGUUGUGUGCCAAAUGGUUAAAAGUGUAUCAAGGGGUUAAAUAUGUGCAAGUGUGAGGAUUAUGCGUUUUACAACUGUUGUGAAGGUAGCAAGUUGUGUAGUAAUUCUUGGGAAUAUGAUUUGGAGGUUCUUUGGCAGGUGGUAAUGUCCAUAUUACAAAGGAAACUCUAGAAAAAAUUUUCUAAAACAAACUUGAAAGUUAAUAAAAGUGUAGAAACUUGCAUAUCAUGUUUUCAAACUCAUUUGGUUCCCAAGUCCUCAUUCGGAUGUGGUUAUGUCCAUAUUAAAAAGGAAACUUUGGCGAAAUUUUUCAAAAACAAACUUGAAAGUUAAUAAAAGCGUAGGAACUUGGAUAUCAUGUUUUCAAACUCAUUUGGUUCCAAAGUCCUCAUUCGAGGACGAAUGAUCUUAAGUAGGGUGGGGGGAUGUAAGGCCCCGUGAAAAUGAGUGCUCUGAUGUUAGCAGCUCAUAGAGUAGAGUCUAUCCAUGUGGAUCGGAUCCUUUUUACUGUUUUGAACUUGAAAAAGAGAUAUCGAAAUUUUUCCAGAAAAUGAUCAAAAUGCGAUCAAAUCUGCGAUCUUAAGCAGACCGCAUUCCUACCACAGAGUGAAUCCGAGAGCAACCAAAUAUUUAUGUUGAAAAUGCGGUCAAAUAUGCGAUCGCAUAAUCAAUAUGCGGACCGCAUCACAUAUUGUCCCUGAGGUAAUUCGAAGGUUAGUUUUGCGGUGCAUUCUGCUACCGCAGAACUCAAAUGCGGACCGCAUGUCCACCUCAUUCCAACCUUGAGAGGUUUGAAGUUUGAGCCAUUUCUGCAGUCCAUUAUGCGGACUGCAUGUCUGUUCUAUGAUCGUAAAGUUGCAUCGCAGAUUGAGCUCGCCCAGUUAUUUUUUAAAAAUAUAAGCCCAACCCCUCUUUAACAAAAACACCCCAUCCCUCAUUUUUAACCCAUUUUCUGAACAAAAUAAGAGAGAGGAAGAGAGGGUCCUAUAGAGAGAAAGUACAUUCUUCUUCAAUUGAUCUUUCAAAACCAUUGGAGCUUGGAAAAAUUCUUGGUGCAUUGUCUUCUCUAUUGAUUUCUCAGGUAAAGAAAACACUAACCUAUUUCCCCCAAAUUUUGAAACUAAGCUUGGGAAAGGAACCCCGUACACUUUCUUUGAAAUUUCUUGAUAAAAUCUUCAUGUGUGUCUUCAAGACUCUAAAAUCUUGUAAAAAAGGGAAUUGGGUAGUAACUAUGGGUCUAAAUUUCUAAAACCUAAGUGUUGUUCAUGAACUAAAUUGAUUUCUCGAUUGCUUGGCGAAUUGGAUUAGAGGUUUACAAGAGAAUAAUCAACUCCAGGUAUGUAUGGCUAGUUGUGAUCCUUGUGAAAUCUCCCUAUGCUAGUUGUGAAAUUGUUGAUAGUUGAUAUUCAUGUGANNNNNNNNNNNNNNNNNNNNNNNNNNNNNNNNNNNNNNNNNNNNNNNNNNNNNNNNNNNNNNNNNNNNNNNNNNNNNNNNNNNNNNNNCACACUUUGUGGUGAAUGUUGUGGAACUUGUAAUUGGAACAACGGAAAUGGAAAUAAUGUGAAACAAUGGAAAUGGAAGUAAUGUGGAACAAUGGAAACGGAAAUAUUGUGGAACAACGUGUGUGAUUAGUUGUGAAUAACUGUUGUGAUGAUCUAAAUUGUGUAACAAUUUGAUGAACUUGAGGAAAUUGUUGUUGCUAGUUCAGCAAUUGCAUUACCCUUGAUGUGGAUCUAUGUUAACAAUGUGUCAUAGUUGAUUUCUUGUAUUUGUUGUUGUGCUGGUUGUUGUUGUGAAUAUAAAACUAUCAGUCGGGGUCGGGUUGCGUUCUGAAACACUGUGAAAUAAGGUGUGGGUUGGGGUGAUAAGGGUGGCCGAGGUAAUAAGGGUGGACGAGGCAAUAAGGGUGGAAAGUGUGAUCCAAUAUCACUAUUGAUAUGAAUGUAAAUCGUGAAAUGAUAAAUGUGGAAAUGUGAAAGAAGACAGCAGGAGAGUUUGUAACUUGUGGGGCACUAAUUGGCCCUUCAUAUGACUACUUGAAUCAUUUGUUGUGAAAUGAUUGGUUGUUGCUUCAUGGUUGUACAUGUACUAUUGUUGUUCAGUUCUAUACUUGUUAUGCAAUUUGGCUUGAGUUUACUUGGGACAGAGUUUGUUCAUACAUGACAGUACAAUUCAAAUGUAAUAACGUCCCUUUUGCCUGGGGCGCUACAUUCGUGUUGUGAGUGUAGGUGGAUCCGUGGCGGACACUCCAGUCCACCGUUCGUAGUUCCUCCUCCUCUCUAUUGGCGGUAUUCGUGUUAGUGAGUCCCUUUCCUUCCGAGGCCUUGUGUGACUGUGCCAACUAUGUUGUUGUAUUUUAGAGUCUUGUGUCCUUUUGUAAAGGUAUUGUCGAGGCCUUGUCGCCAGAAAGUGUUGUACUAUCUUUCUCUUACAGGCUCCGUAGACAGUAGUAUGUGGGUUAGAACUUAUGUAUAAAGGUUUAUGUUUUGGACGCUGUAAAACCUGUUUGCCAUGUUCCCUAUUAAUCAUAAUGUGUGGUUAUAAAAGAGAAAUCAUAUGUUCUUUCGUUUGCAAAAUUUAGUAUCUUUUGGCUAAUUAUCAUUGAAUAAUGUGGGGUAACGCAUGGGUAAUAGGAAAGGCACCUAGGUCCAAUCGACUGGAGAUACCCGGUUGCGUUCCGGUCAUGCCCUCGGAUUUGGGGCGUGACACGGGCAUAUUCCCGGAAUCGAAAUCCGAGGUCCCAGGUCUGAGUAUGGAUCUUUUCUGUGAAAUCAUUUUUCAAAAAUGCUUAAGGUAAAAUGGAAAUGAAAAUUUAAUCAAAAGUGAUGGCAUCGAGCUCAUAUUUUGGUUUUGACGCCCUGUACAAGUCUUAAAUGGACGUUAAGCGCUAUCUGUAAAGUUUGGUUGAAAACGGACGUCGUUUGACGUGAUUCGGACUAAAAGAGAAAAAUUUGAAAGUUUUGAACUUAGAAAUGAAAAUUCAUGAGUUCUUGGGGUUGAUUCUUUGAUAUUAAUGUUAUUUUGGCGAUUCGACGCCCGAGCAAGUUCGUAAGAUAAUAUUGAGUUAGUGUGUGUGUUUGGUUGGGAGCCCCGAGGGCUCGGGCAGAUUUCAGGGUGUUUCGAGGUGUUUUGAUACUUAAGAAAAUACCAGAAACUUCAGACAGUUGUUGCAGAGCCUUUCCUCUUUGUGAACUCGGCACUCGGCUCGCGUUUGCCCAAAUCCUCUACCCUUUGCGAUCGCGUCCAACGCCAUGCGUUCGCGUAGCGUAGCCUCACUCUUCACCGCGUUCGUGUGUCUGUUUCCGCAUUUGCGUAGAGCUACCCCAUAACUCCCCUUCUUUCCUUCUUCGCGUUCGCAUAGACUCCAUCACGAACGCAAUGCCUUUUUGAGACCCCUUCAUCGCAAACGCGACCCAGGUGUCGCGAUCGUGAAGCACAAAAUGCUUCAGUGAAAUAUUUAAUUCCAGCACUGUUCAUUACGGGAUUUCAUUCAAAUUCUCACACGAGCUCUCCUCAUACACUCUCCAUUGACGAACUUCAAGCCCCUACUUCACCAUAACUCUUUGGGUAAGUGAUUCCAACUUCGUUCUUCCAUUAUUUCUUCAUCCUCUCUCACGAACUCUCCUCCUUCACUCUCCAUUGACAAACUUCAAGCUCCUAUUUCACCAUAACUCUUUGGUUAAGUGAUUCCAACUUCGUCCUUCCAUUAUUUCUCCAAUCAUCAAAUUUCUAGCCCUAAAUCAUGAAAUCAAAGUAGAAUUUGGGGGUUUUGAGUUUAGCUAGGGUUCAUGGGAUUUUGGGUAUUUCAACCUCAAUCUGAGAUCGAAUUUAAAAUCUAAUUAUAUAUUUGAACUCGUGGGAUAAUGGGGGAUUGGAUUUUCAUCCGAGCCUCGAGUUUGGACCACGUGGGCCCGGUGUCGGAUUUUAGUAUUUUUGAAAGUAAUCUAGGAAAUGCAUUUCUAGGCUAUGGGAUUUUGUUUUUGAAUUCUUAUUGAUAAUAUUGAAUCAAUUUAUGUUAGAUAUCGUUGGUUCGGGGUCAAAUUCUAGAGGANNNNNNNNNNNNNNNNNNNNNNNNNNNNNNNNNNNNNNNNNNNNNNNNNNNNNNNNNNNNNNNNNNNNNNNNNNNNNNNNNNNNNNUGUUGAGCUUUGAGUUGCCAUUUUCGGAUUCGAGGUAAGUGUUCGAUCUAACUUUGGCUUGAGGGAAUAUGAUUAGGUUGUUAUUCGUUAUGUGCUAUGUGGGGUCUGUGCAUAGGUAUGGUGAUGGUUACCUAUGCGCCCAAGUCAAGCAUGACCGUGAUGUCAUAUUUGCUAUUAAAUUGUGAAUUAAGUGAACAAUUGUGAUAAUUACUUGUUACAAGAAAUAUGAAGUGAAAGUUGAAAAUUUAAUGAACUCAAGAGGAACUUCGGUACUUUUCCCUUGCCCGGACCAUUCGUUAAUUAUUCUCCCUUGCCGGGAUAUUUUGCCUUGAUAUAUAUAUAUAUAUAUAUAUAUAUUUCUCUGUUCCUGUUUGGCUGUGACCAUUGAUUGGGAGAGGAAUUGAGAGUUAAAGCACGAAAAGUGAUGCCGUGCAUUGUUUAUUGAGAGUAAAAGCACGAAGGGUGAUGCCGUGCACUAUUUUAUGAGAGUAAAAGCACGAAGGGUGAUGCCAUGCCUUGUAUUGAUAUUUUUGGUGAGAAAUGAGAGUAAAAGCACGAAGGGUGAUGCCGUGCACUGUUUUAUGAGAGUAAAAGCACGGAGGAUGAUGCCGUGCAGCUGUUGAUUCAUUGGCUUUCUUGUUUAAUUAUUAUUUAUUCAGUUUCAUCUCUUGAUUGUAGAAGUUAUAAUUGAACUGAAGUAAAAGCACGAAGAGUGAUGCCUUGCACUGUUUAUUGAGAGUAAAAGCACGAAGGGCGAUGCCGUGCACUAUUUAUCGAGAGUAAAAGCACGAAGGGUGAUGUCGUGCCUUGCAUUUGAUAUUCUUGGUGAGAAAUGAGAGUAAAAGCACGACGGGUGAUGUCGUGCAUUAUAUUUUACUACUUUGGUAAGGAAUGAGAGUAAAAGCACGAAGGGUGAUGCCGUGUAGUUGUUGAUCCAUUGGCUUUCUUAUUUAAUUAUUAUUUAUUCAAUUUCAUCUCUUGAUUGUAGAAGUUAUAAUUGAACUGCUACUCCCCAAGAUGUCCCCUUCCCCUUUUAUUUGCUUAAAUCCUUGCUCUCUUUCUGUUAUUGCAUAUAUCUGUACAAUUUGGUUGUGGUAGGUCCGAUUUAGCCUCGUCACUACCUCGCCAAGGUUAGGCCAGGCACUUAUCAGCACAUGGGGUCGGUUGUGCAUAUACUACGCUUCUGUGCCUUUUUUGCACAUGUCAGGAUACAGCCUACGGACUGCAGCUAUAGUUCGGGAGUUAUCCCUCAGUCCGGAGACUCUGAGGUAGUUCGCUGGCGUUUGCAGGCCCCGAGUCUCUCUUAUCUUAUCUUUUCAGUUUGUUUUAUUUGUAUCAAACAGGCAUAUGAUGUAUUUCUUUCAGACUACUAUUUUUAGUACUCUUUAAUUGUCGGUGAGUAGUGACACCAAUACUAGGUAGAGACCUGUUGUUAGUUUUUCGCAUCUUGUUUUCAUUAUUUUAAUUAAAAGACUUCCGCAUGUUUUUAUUUAAUUGUUUAUUUAACUCGUUUAGAUUUAAGUUCUGUGAAAAAGAUCAUAAAGGUUGGCUUGCCUAGCUUCGAUAGUAGGCGCCAUCACAACUCCCGAUGGUGGGUGAAUCCGAGGCAUGACAGAAAAUGUCACGGCUGAUAACAAAACUUUUUCCUACCAGCGAUAACCAACAAUUUAAGUGUAAAUGAUGGAGAUUAAUCCGCAUCUUCUCUGCUACUUCCACCGAACAGAUUCGCGCAACUGCCUCCGCAUUCCACUGCUUCCAUCGGUGUCUCAAUUUGAGAUUUUACAGACACUUUUGCUUCCACUAUACUCUUAACUAUUUUCAUCAACACUUCACUUUUACCUCCUCAUACUUAUGAAUUUACUUUUGCUUCCUCUUACUUAAGAAUUUUAUGCCAACAUUUGCUUGUUAAGCAUAAGUUCUUUAAUUUUGGGGAGGGAAUUAUUAAGUGGUGAUUAGUUUUCUAUAUUUAGGAUGGAAAGUAACUCCUAAUAACAUUUAUGGGUUCAUUUAAUACAAUAAAUAAGAGAUAGAGAAAAAAACGUUUUGAAUCCUGUAACUCCCUUCCUCUUUAAUUGAGUAAUUAUUCAAGGAUUUAUGGUCUUUUUAAAUUAAGAUAAACUAAAAACUUGUGAGAAAAAGGCAAAAAAAAUAAGAGAAAAAAGAUAAGUGAGUUCCUUAGCCAAAUAGAGGUGCCACCUCACUCUUCCAUUUUCCACCAUUAAUUUAAUAUAUAUAUAGAGAGAGAGAGGGGGAGGGAGAUAGAGAGAGAGAUUAGCUUCAUAAUUUUCUUGUUUAUAAUUUCUGACCAGAUACAUAAAGUAAAAAAGUUAUGAAUUUUUUUUUUUUGGUCAAACGAAAAACUUUAUAUAAAUCUCUUGUCAAAAUUACAUCUCAAAUACAAUCAGUCUACUCUCUAACUGUCCCUCCUAUCACUUACUUACAUUUAAUCUAUACAAUUUCUCUAAAGAUGUUUUCUAUCCAUUUCUUUUCACUAUUGGUAUGGCUCAUUCUUAUAGCUUCCAUUUCUCUUAACUUGCAAUCUUGCUUAAUCUGUUUUAUUAGCUGCCAGGUUGAACCACCUUAUGUUCCCAGAAAGCUAUAUUUCUAGAUCCCCAAAUGUAAUACACAAUUACUGAUAGUGCAGCCAUCACUACAGCCCUACAUGUUUUCUCCUUAAUCUUUCUGGUCAGUCUUCUUCCCAGCCCCUGUAUCUCCAGAUUCCCCAUACCUAUAUUUAGCCACCUUUGUAUGUCUUCUGUACAUCUCCUCUUUAGUGGAUAGUCAAAGAAUAAGUAAUUAAUUAUUUCUUCUGCUCUUCCACAUAUCUCUCACAAACUGUCUUAACUGAUGCUCAUUCUAUACACAUACACUUUCCUUCGUCAUGAGUCUAUUAUGUGCCACCACCCAGCAUAUCGUACUGUGCUUAGUCAUGUUCAGCUUAUUCCAUACCCAGCCUCUCUAAGGCUAGUCCUCCUUAGCCCAUUUCUUCCCGUUAUAACCACUCUUGAUAGUAUAUAUUCCAUUAGCUUUUAGCCAGUGAUUUUGUAUAUACCCGCCAGCAAAUUUAUCUCUUAUAGAACAUAUUUUCCUCCAGUACCAACUAAAAUCUGUAGGUACUUUAUAUUGCCACUUAUCCCUUCUUUUUAAGUAUAUGUGAUCACUCAUCUCACCCACAAGUUGUCUAUUUUAGCUGCUAUAUUCCAUACAUAUUUUGCUAUGGAUUCUUUAUUCCAUACUACAAUAUUCUUCACUCCGAGUUCUCCUUGCCUUUUUGUUCUGCAGACCAAGUUCCACGCUACUAGCAGUGGCUUCUUGGAGUAGACUUUUCCAUCCCAUAGAAAGCAUAUACAUACCCCUAUGAUAUUUUUUAUCACUUUCUUGGGAGAAAAAAGAUAGAUGCCCAGUAUAUGUGUAUGUGCAUUAACACAACAUUCACCAAAAGAACUUUCAUUGCAUAUGACAAGUUCCUUGAGCCCUAACUUUUGAUCUUCUCAGUCAUAUUAUCUACAAGGACUUCACAAUCCAUUGUUGUCUGCUUUUUUGGUGAGAUAGGCACUCCAAGGUACCUAAAUGGUAAUGAUCCUCUCUUUUACCCUGUUAGUUCACAUAGAUUCUACAAAUCAUGUUCCUCCAUGUUUGCACUGAAUACAUUAGACUUGGCAGCAUUGGUAGUUAAACCUAAUGCAUUUGAGAAGCUUUGUAAACCUCUUACCGUUAGGACUAUAGCUUGAUAUUCCCCUUUAUAGGACAAUAGAACAUCAUCUGCAAAUCAUAGAUGAUUCAUAUACAACCCUUUACAUGUGGUAUGGAAAGCAAACCCUUCUUGAGUAGCCACCAGUCUCAUAAUACGCAUGAAAUACUCCAUACAAAUCACAAACAGCAAUGGGGAUAUUGGGUCUCCCUAUCUCAAUCCCUUUUUACCAUCCCUUGAUUGCUAGAGUGUAUUGAGUUGUUGUAAUGUACUUCAUUAACCAUCCUAUGAAUUGGUAUGGAAAUUUCACUGCAUAUAGCAUUUCCUCCACAAAUCCCCAUUCAAGUGAAUCAUAGGGUAUCUUGAGGUCAAUUUUGAUGAGACAACUUUUUGCAGUGUGCUUCCUGUUAUAGAGUCUUACUAAAUCUUGACAAAUUAAGAUAUUCUGAACAAUUGAUCUCCCUUCUACAAAAGAACUCUUAUUUUAUCUGAAAUGAUUUUAGGCAGUACCUUCUUUAGUCUUUCGCAUAGCAUUUUUGAAAUCAUCGUGCAUACUGUAUUGCAACAGGCUAUUGGCCUAUAGUCUCCUAGUGAAUCUGCAUGUGUACCCUUAGGAAUGAGUGUUAUAACUAUAUUUUUCAUCACUUUCAACAUCUUCUAUGUCUUGAAGAACUCCAGUACUACUGGUGUAACAUCUCUUCUUGUUAUAUUCCAGCUGUCUUUGAAAAAUUGUCUUCCAUAGCCAUCAGGUCCAGGUCUUUUAUCCCCUGUAAUUGCCCAGAAAGCCUUCUUUACAUCAUUCACUGAGUAAGGUUCCACUAGCAUUUUCCCGUCUUCUUCAUUUACCACAGCUCUCUUCGUCACUAAGUAGCUACAGAAUUAAUCUCUAUCUUCCUUACUAGUGCCUAGUAGGGAUUUAUAGAAUUCAAUGAAUGUUGUAGCUACACUGUCCAUGUCAGUAACAUUAACACCAUCAGCACCCUUUACAGAGAAGAUCCUAUUGUUGUUUCUCCUAGCUUUAAUGUAUUGUGGAAGCAUCUUGUAUUGUAGUCCCCUUGUUCUGCCCAAGUUAUCGUACUCUUCUGCCUUAAGUACUGAUAUCUUGCUUAUUCCCAUCUGUUAUACUCUUUUGCCAGUGUCCUUUCCUUUUUGUGUAACUCAUGAUCCCUAGGAUUUUCCUGGAUCCUAACUUGACAGCCAGUAAGAUCCUUCUUUGCUUGGUCUGUUUUCCUUUCUACUUCACUGAAUCUGUUUUUGCUGAUCUUCUCCAUCUUGUUUAUUAUUCCAGGUGAAAUAGGCACCAGCAGAUUUUCGAUCGUGUAGAUCACAACUCUCUACACAUCUCUUAAAAUCCCUUGUUUCAGCUAUUGUUACAAUGCUUCCUAACCUUUCCUCCUUAUAUAAUACACAGAUGAAAUCCCCCAUUACACUCCAUGGCCCUUGAAUAUGACUAUGGAUUUUGCUUAGCUCCUCUCAUAGAUCUCUUCUAAGGCCAUGAUCAUUAAAAUCAUACACCACUGUUAUGUGCAUCCUCUUAUUACUAUCUCUAUGCUUUACUUGGCAAUGAAUCAGCUGUGGUGUUAUUGUUACUAUAUCAACCUCAUAGAUGUGAGGUUUUCGUAAUAACCAUAUCCUACCCCUAGGAUAUUUGUGUAGAUUUGUACUAAAUGACAACUCAUUACAAAGAUUAAAAGAGGCUUGUUGAGCCUUGCUUCUCUUAUUCCAAUCAAUUCCUUCAGAUUGUGGAAUUGGUGCUACUACUUUGCUCCAUGAUUUGCCACUUUGCUACAGAGUCUCUACAUCUCCUUCCACCAUUGCUUCUUCCUCAACUACAUCAGCCCAUGAACACCUUCCGCUACUUUGCAUGUUACUGUUCUCACUUCUAUUUGGCAUUUUGCUCUUAUUUGGAGUUUGAUCCAUACUCCUUUUUGCUAGAUCUAGUAGAAUGAACCCCUGUAACACAUUAAUGCUCGUUGUUUUCUUUGCAUCUAUGGUUUGGGGUACAGAUUGCCUUCCUCCAUUUGUAGUGUUGUUCUGCCAUUGUUUCUCACCUGCUCCAGCUUUUGAUUUCCUUCUCAUGGUCAGUUCUCGCUAAGGGAAGGUUUUCAUUCUAGAGAGAAAAAAAUGCCGGUAGUGUAAAAUAUUUUUAAAAAGUUACAAAAAAGGAACUUAAUUAAUUUUAUAUAUCUUAUUUUAUAGUUUUUAGAAAUGGCGAUGAAAGAGGUAGCUAACCUGCAAAGUACAAUAAAAAGUAGCAAGUACUACUUAUAAAGUAAUUUGACUGUUAUAGUAAUUUUUUAUUUUAUGAAAUCCAUGAGUAGUUUUGAUCGUCAUUUACAAAUGGACAGUAUGACCAUUUCAGAAAAGGAGAAAGAAACUAUAGAAAUCGAGCUAGUUUAAAUGGAUGAAUUGUUAGUAUAAGAAGAUAUUUAUUCAACCAACUCAACACAAUUAAACGUAACUGUAUAUAAUAAUUAUUGAUCGAUAACAUAGAAAAAGUGGCAAGUAAUCGAUUUAAACCAUAGUAUAGCGUUAAACAUGUUUUACAAAACUAGUGUAUAUAAACUUUAAUGUAAAAGGAAAAAGAAAUAAGAAGGAAGGAGGGAAUAAUAGACGAGAAGGAAAAUGGAGACAAUAGUAGUCUGACGAAGACAAGUCAAACUCCAUGCAUGUUGUAUCUUUGGGCCAUAGCAAUAUACUUUGGUUGCACGACUUUCUCUUAUAGGAUGAGGCGGGAAAAAUAUUUAAUGCAUCCACUUUUAUAAAUAAUAACUAUAUAUAUAUAUAUAUUCGACAGUAAUUUAAUUUUGGCCGACAGACCAAUUAUGUUAUUUGCUAUUUUUAGCGGGCCAUAGCAUGUUGUAUCUGUGGGCCAUAACAUCUUUUUAUCUACUAUGGAUGGGAGUGGCUUUACCCGAAGUAAAAAGCAAUAUAUGGAGUGCGGAGUGCCAAGACACUCCAUUCAAACUGUUUCAAGUGGAUCAAUUGGAAGACUGAGACAGAAUUUGUCACGACCCAACUAAUGGUAUGUACAAAUUCUGUCAUUCUGACGAGGGUUUUUUCUUGACCCCUACUCUAUAUAUGGAUGAUACAAAUAUUACAAUGGAGAGGGACACAAAACCAAAAAUCUCAUAGAACUACUAGCUCCAAAAAAAACAUAAUAUUGGACUAAUCAAAAAAGAAAAUCUGCGAGUUUAAAAGUGGAAAGCUAUUAAAUAAGAUCCUCCCGAAUGGAGUCCUAAGUGUUAGGAUUCAAAAAAAUCAGGUGUCACGCGGAAGGUAGCAAAGCAAAUCUUAAAAGAUGUUAAAUCAUACGUACAACAAAAGAGAAAUAUACUUGUUUGGUUCAAAGUUCUCAUACACUUUAUGAGCAUAAAAUAAUAAAAAUAAAUAAAUGGUCAAUCAUAGCAGACCAUAAUUAACAACCAAAAGACUGAACAGAAGAAUAAGAUACAAGUUUAUAUAUUAAGAUGACAAAGGUGGGAAGCAUUUUAUUGAUUGAUAUUAGUUUGGUCUGCCUAUCCAUGGAAAGGUUCAGAGCCUUACAAUGAUAUUCUCUUCUCUUAGAAGUGGAGGUGAAGAAGAAGAAGCAGCCCUCCUUUAGGGUUCUUUCUCUUAAUAUUUAUAGUUGUGUAACUUGCCAGCUGGCGUUGGAAGGUCGUGGUCAUGUCAAGGGGAUGCCCGCCAAUAGUGAACAGAUGGUCUCGUUGAUUAAGCUCUGUGAUCUUUGAAUGCUUAUCAUUAACGAAUAAUUGUACCAUUUAUUAGCCCGAAUGUGCUUAAAGGCGAAUUACUCUUAUUAAUUAUGAUGAAUCAGGUUUUGACUCAUACAGUUAGUCCCUCCACUUAUUGAGGUCGAGAUUUGAUCGAAUUCGAUGAGCGAAUUUUAUCGAAUGUGACUCAAUAGAUUUGGAAGACGGAAUUGGAUAUCGUUUGGUUAUGACCUAGGUUCAUACUCCGAAGACGGCCAUAGUUGUUGAUACUUAAAGGGUGGCCAUAGCCAUUUGCAUACCUGAAAGAUGGCCGUAACCAUUUUACGUUUUUGGGCAAUGGCCAUAGCCAGGUUAUACAUAAGAGACGACUGUAGCCAUUUAUACUUGAGGGAUGGACGUAGCCAUUUAUAUUUAGGAGACGGCCGUAGCCAGUUAUAUUUAAGAGACGGCCGUAGCCAUUUAUAUUUGAGGGAUGGCCGAAGGCAUGUAUAUUUGAGGGAUGGCCGUAGCCAUUUAUAUUUAGGAGACGGCCGUAGCCAGUUAUAUUUAUGGGACGGCCGUAGCCAUUUAUAUUUGAGAGAUGGUCGUAGCCAUUUAUAUUUGAGGGACGGCCGUUUGAUGUUUUCAUCUGGAGCCAUGUAUUCCCGCAGGCGACCACUGAGGAUAUGGGUGUGCUUUACGUGUAUUGCAAUAGUUCUUGGUGUAUGGAGGCAUACAUGACGUCCUUCCAACAUACCCAGGUCGUUAAACCCACUUCGAAGAUGAAGUGUCGAUUAACGGUUGCGAAAUCGUUUUGUGGAACCUGUCAUAAUGACACCUGUUACUGUGGGUUCGAACUGUUUUGUGGUUGGUUGUGCAGUUAAUAGUAGCUUUUGGUAUUCGGGAAAGCCCCUUUUGUAGUAUAAAUAAUGAGUUAUGUUAUCCGUUUUUUACUUUUCAACAUAUGACUAAGAAGGAUUUCUGAAGCAGCAGCUUUUCUCACUCUUUUUCUUCGUUAAUUUGUGUUUUUCUUUGCCUUGUUUCACUCAAUCUCCAUUUUUACUCCUUCUUUGGUGAAUCACGUUUGCUCAUCGUCUAGUAAUUAGUUAAUGGCAAGUAGUUCCCACACAGAGCUUUCUCCGGCGACUCUUCCGGCGGUCGAUGGGCCUUUUGCAGUGGCGAGGGCCACCGAAUUGGCGGAGAUCGAUGGGGUCCCAUCGGCAGUUGAUAUUCUUUUCUGCCCAAAGGUCCAGCAACUAAGUUUACCGCCGAUGAGGGGGAGGAUCAGGUCAAUGAGGCCCCACUAAUGGGAGAGGUGGGCCUCGCACAGUUAAGGGAGAAAUGGGGUAUUCCUCGUUCUGCCGACAUCUCCCUUGCCAGGAGCGAGGAAAGGGUUCACAUCGACCGCCCCGGAUAUUGCAUUUUCUAAGCUUACCCUUUCAGAUUAGGGUACAAGCUUCCCAUUCCGGUGCUGGUAGUGGAUUUUUGCUAUUAUUAUGAAGUGUGCCCUGGGCAGCUCGUCCCUUCCUUCUAUAAGCUAUUUUCCAUGCUCGCCAAGUAUGCAAAAUUGGCUCGAUGGGAAAUAACACUGCGGCACGUGUUGACUUUUUACGCCCCUUAGAGGGUCCGUGUACUAUGAUUCGAAUGGUCCCCCGUGGGGUCGGGGGUUUGACUACAGAGCAGGACGACCCAAUCGACUCUCAUUCUUAUAAGAACUUUUUCUACAUCAAGACUGAGCAUUUGGUGGGGAUCACUAGGGAGUUCCCUGACACUUGGAACCAUAUACGUCAGUUUUCUAUUUGUCAGGUUCUGUCUUCCAUUCUUUCUUGUUCUUUGUUCUAAUAAGUGUUGACUUUAUCUUUUGUUUGUUGCAUAGAGGGAACCACGACUCCUUUGUGUGGCAUUAGUGAUAGGUCGAGGCCGUACUCCCUCAGACAGUGGGGAUUCGCACAAGGCCGUCCUUCUGGGAAAGGCACGGCCAUAGGCCUUCUACGGGUGAGUGUUUGAGUUAUUUCAUCGUUCUUGUUCGGUUGUGUUUAGUUUCUUUCCUUUUAAUUCUUUUCCUUUGCUGAUAAGGGGCGGUGAGCUGUGUGAGGGCUCCUCGACUUGCUAUCCACAGGCCGGGCGCGACUGCUCAGCUGGCUAUGGCACCGACACCACGCCUUAUCUAAAGGGCAACUUAAAUUGAGUCAUCGGUGAAGGAGGAGAGACCGUUUGUUAGGCGAAAGGUAGCCUUCAUGCCUACUACGAAGGUGGUACAUUUGGACUCUCCGUCGUCGGGUACGGAGGGGAAUGAGGCGGAUGUGCCUACCCUUGAGAGCGAAAACACAAUAGGGGUUGCCCUAGUCAGUUUAGGCCGUAAUGAAACUGUCGCUUUGGCGGCUCAAUCAUCACGCCCAGCUAUUAAGAGGGAAGUUGGUUCCUCAGCAGCUGCUUUGGUCAGGGAAGCAAGUGCCAACACGUUGGCAGGGGAAGGGGAGCUCGACCUCUCGGCCAGUUGAGGAAGGAAGGGACAUCAUGGGAGGGGGGUUUGACUCCGAAUCCGACUUGGAAUCUGAUGAUGUCUGCAUGCUCCGGGAAGGCUUCACCAACGCGACGGCGCAUGCAGAGGGGCCGUUUUGUUAGGCUGAGAUUCCUACCGAGCAGAACCAGCUGCUUGAGGAGGACAAUUUGGUACCGAUGUUUGCGACCUUGUGCUCGGAGGAGAAGAGUAGGUCGCUGAGGGACGUCUCAAAUGUCAGAUUGAUGACUGAGGUGGCCGUGAUAGGAUUUAGGGUACGUAUGGUGAUCUUAUUUUGUUUCUUUUCUUGCCUUGGUUUGCUUCCUAGCUUAACCACUGGUUUUGUCUUGCAGACCUUUCUUUUGGAGGUAGAGAGCAUGUACCGGGCCAACGUUCGCUCGGGACUCUUCUUGCAGGCGCUAGAAAAGCUUUUCCGCUACCGAUAUAGGUGUCACGUGAUGCGCGAGUGCCUAAGGAAUGACCCCCGUAGUUGGGAGUUGGUUGAGGAGUUGGCGAGGCAGGAGCUUUUAGUGCAGCAGGCUCAAAAUAGGGCAAAUGCUCUCGAGGAGAAACAUCGUCGUAGGGACGGGGAGGUGGAGGCCGAGAGGAGCGCUGCAGCUGAGAAGGAGCACCAGAGUCAGGAGGCAUUGGCAGAGGCCUCUGAGGCCUUGAUUAGGCAGGUGGUCAAGUUGGACGAGGAGCUCACUGUUUCUAGGCAGCAGGCCAGAGAUGCUUCGACGUAGGAUGUGGUGUUGGAGGUGCCGGUCUACAUUCACAAAAGGGAACGAGAGGUGGAGAGAUCUGCUGCGGCUUUCAGAGUGGCGGGGCUAGAGGCCCAAGUUGCAGCAGAUCGGAUCGCUGCCUUGGAGGCCGAGAAUCAGCGUCUGAAGGACCAAGCUGCCUCUUACGGCCGCGCUCGUGAUCUUUGGUCUUUUUUUGAGGUCUAUCUUGAUGUGUACAUGAAACUAUGGGAGGCCGUUGUUGUGCCUGAGGCUGUUUAUGAGGGGGCCCACCAAAAGGCUCGUGAUGCUCGUCUUGGCUGUGGCUUGGACCCGGCCACUACAUGGGCUGAUGAUGGCCCUGAGGACGCUGAUGAUGGCGCAGGUGGCGCUGAAUAAAAGGGAUUUAUAGAGUUAGUUUUUAUUCUGUUUUGUUUUUUUUGGUAGUCGUUUGGCGUUUUUCUUUGUUCGCCGGUUUGGCUGUAUGUAACCGGGGCUGGCCCAUGUAAAUGUAGUUGUAGAUACAUAUAUGCAAUUUUAUGUCCUUUUCUUUCUUUCCAAGUUUCUUUUGCACUCAUUCAAGGGGGUUUCUCCUUUAGAGUUUUCAGGGGGGUGUGUUGAUCUCCUUACGCCUUUAGUCGUGAUAACGUUGGUGGCUUUAACCAUAAUGACGUUGAUGGUCUUGGUCAGUUGGGUGAUUUUGACUGUUGUCAGGUCGUUUGCUCGCUCUAGUCAAAAACUAGGUGGGCUGCUAUCAUCGAUGGUCUUACUGUGAUUGGCCGCUUUUCGCUUAUCAUUUUCCUUUACUCUGUAUGAGUAAGUUGUAGCCGUUAUUUGGUGAGGGUGGUGUAUAGCCUUAGUCCCAGUUCGGACGUGGUCGAAUUGUUGGUCGUGGCCUUGUAAUUCGUCUGGGACCGAACUUAUCGCGGCCUGAAUCUUAGUUUGAGUUAGGAGUACUUACUUGAUUGGAAAGGGCGCUUAACUUGUCCUUUCACUCGUAGAGGAAUAGGCCUUGCAGCGUCCGAUGCUGAGGGCGCUUGGCUUGAGUCUCGGUUUAUUCUACAGUUGAAUUUUUGUGCGAGGUCAUGUGGCCUGAGUUGUUGUUCAACAGUAGUUGAACCUUUGAGAUUUUUGUUGUCGAAGGCACGUAGCCUAACUCCCAAUUCAACUCAUGGUUGAACUUUUAGGGCGAGGGCACGUAGCUUGAGCUGUUGUUCAACCGCGAUUAAACCUUUGCAAUUUUUUGAUGUCGAAGGCACAUAGCCUAAUUCCUGGUUCAACUCAUAGUUUAUCUUCUGGACGAGGGCGCGUAGCCUGAGCUGCUGCUUAGCCGUGUUUAACCUUUGCAAUUUUUGUUGUCGAAGGCACAUAGCCUGAGUCCCAGCUGACUCAUAGUUGAACUUCUGGGCGAGGGCACGUAGCCUCAGCUGUUGUUCAGUCAUAGUUGAACCUUUGCACUUUUUGUUGUCGAAGGCACAUAGCACGAGUCCCAGUUUGACUCAUAGUUGAACUUUUAGGGUGCGCGUUGCCUGAGCUGCUGUUCAACCGUAGUUGAACCUUUGCAAUUUUUUUGUCGACGGCACAUGGCUUGAGUCCUAGUUCAACUCAUAGUUGAAAUUGUAGGGCGAGGGCACGUAGCAUGAGCUGUUGUUCAACUGUGGUUGAACCUUUGCAAUUUUUUGAUUUCAAAGGCACAUAUCCUGAGUCCCAGUUCAACUCAUAGUUUAACUUUUAGGGCGAGGGCACGUAGCCUGAGCUGUUGUUCAAUCGUGGUUGAACCUUUGCAAUUUUUUAAUGUCGAAGGCACAUUUCCUGAGUCCCAGUUCAACUCAUAGUUGAACUUUUAGGGCGAGGGCACAUUGCCUGAGCUGUUGUUCAACCGUGGUUGAACCUUUACAAUUUUUUGAUGUCGAAGGCACAUAGCCUGAGUCCCGGUUCAACUCAUACUUGAACUUCUGACUGAGGGCGUGUAGCCUGAGCUGUUGUUCAACCGUAGUUGAACCGUUGCAAUUUUUGUUGUUGAAGGCACAUGGCCUGAGUCCCAGUUCAACUCAUAGUUAAACUUCUUCCUUUACACCUGACUUAUUUUCUUGGGGNNNNNNNNNNNNNNNNNNNNNNNNNNNNNNNNNNNNNNNNNNNNNNNNNNNNNNNNNNNNNNNNNNNNNNNNNNNNNNNNNNNNNNNNNNNNNNNNNNNNNNNNNNNNNNNNNNNNNNNNNNNNNNNNNNNNNNNNNNNNNNNNNNNNNNNNNNNNNNNNNNNNNNNNNNNNNNNNNNNNNNNNNNNNNNNNNNNNNNNNNNNNNNNNNNNNNNNNNNNNNGUUGUCAUUAGUAUAUUGUGUUGGGGAGGGGGGGUUUAGGUUUUCGUUUGAGAUCUUAUCUGAUUUGUACGUAGUCUUCUUGACUAGUUUAGAGAGGCCAUUCUAUUAUGGAUCUUGGUUGCGUGCCACUUUCCGGCAUGGUCUCGUAUCGAGGAUAUGGGGGUCUCUCGCCCGUGUUCUCCCCGUAGGGAAGGGGUAUCUUCUUUCUCUUAUUCUUCUUUCGUUUUCUCAAGAACGGGGGGAGUCAGGGCUUUGGACUCUUGCUGGGGCUUUCGAGCUCUGUUCGCCCGCUGUGCUACUUUGUCUCAUUCGAGCUGGAUUGCUUCCCUUUUUGAGUGUCUUUUUUCCUUUUUGGUCUGAGGUGGCAAAUUGUUUGGCUCAAAGUUCUUAUACACUUUAUGAGCAUUAAACAAUAAAAAUAAAUGGAGGACCAAUCAUAGCAGAUCCUAAUUAGCAACCAAAAGACCGAACAGAAGAAUAAGAUACAAGUUUACAUAUUAAGAUGACAAAGGUGGGAAGCAUUUUAUUGAUUGAUAUUGGUUUGGUCUGCCUCUACAUGGAGAGGUUCAGAGCUUUACAAAGAUAUUCUCUUCUCUUAGAAGUGGAGGUGAAGAAGAAGAAGAAGCAGCCCCCCCCCCCUGGGUUCUUUCUCUUAAUAUUUAUAGUUGUGUACCUUACCAGCUAGCAUUGACGGCCGUGGUCAUGUCAGGGACACGCCCGCCAAUAGUGAACAGACCGUGGUCUUGUUGAUUAAGCUUAGUGAUCUUUGAGUGCUUACCAUUAACGAAUAAUUGUACCAUUUGUUAGCCUGAAUGUGCUUAAGAGCGAAUCGCUCUCAUUAAUUAUGAUGAAUCGGGUUUUGACCCAUACAGUUAGUCCCUCCACUUAUUGAGGUUGAGAUUCGAUCGAAUUCGAUGAGCGAGUUUUAUCGAAUGUGACUCAAUAGAUUCAGAAGAGGGAAUUGGAUAUCGUUUGGUUGUGACCUAGGAGGGUCGUAGUUGUUCAUGCGCCGAAGGCGGCCAUACCUGUUGAUACUUAAAGGGUGGCCAUAGCCAUUUGCAUACCUGAAGGAUGGCCGUAACCAUUUUACGUUUUUGGGCAAUGGCCAUAGCCGGUUAACCGACCUACGUCUACCAUCAGAGAUGAGGAAUCCACUAUAUAAAAAGAGAGUAUGAAAUAUCAAGAGAACAACCUCACGAAGAGAAAAACACAAAUGAUACACUAAUCACUUGUCCCGUUAAGUUCUCCACUAAAUACGACUCUCAAACCUCAUAUGUCUACAUUGUGGAUGCUACUGAAUAAGAAGAAAGCAUCCCGAAUUUAUAGAAGUCCAAACAAUUUUCUACAAGAAAAAGGGUUAGCAAAAUAUGGAAGACUUAUAUUUUCCUUCUAGGAAACGAAAAACCCUAUUAUGGUAAAUAUGUUGUCCUUUCCUUCAUGAGAUAGGAAAACCAAAUAUGGUAAGAAAAUCAGAACAACACCUAACAAUUCUCUCCUUUGGCCUGAAUUUUCUGACAAAAUAAACCUGAUCAACCUUCUUGACAUAGCCUUCAACAGGUUGUAUCUCCAAAUCUCCACAAUAAAGUUUAUCUCAAUAUGCGUAUAACACCGGUCAAAUUUCUCAGAAAAAAUCACAAUUAUCGUCAAAUAUGUUGCAGCUAGAACUGAAUCAGCUAAGAUGGGAACCCUGUUGUGAUACCACUUGUUAGGAUCGAAAAAUUCAGGUGUCAUGCAGAAACUAACAAAGCAAACCUUGAAAGAGGAUGAAUCAUAUAAGAAAAGAGAAACAUACCAAAAGAGACACACACAUUUAACAUGGAUCGGCCAAUCGACCUACGUCCACAGGCGGAGAUGAGCAAUCUACUAUAUAAAAAGAGAGUUCAAAAUAUUGAGAGAACAACUUCUCAAAGAGGCAAACACAAAUGACAUACUAAGAUUUGUGCGUAAAGUUCUCCCCCUAAACACGACUCUCAAACCUUAUAUUGCUACAUUGUGGAUGCUAUUGAAUGAGAAAGAAGGAAUUUAUAGAAGUCCAAACUUUUUCCUAUAAGGACAAGCCAAAUAUAUAAGACUUAUAUUUCCAUUUAAGGAAAAAACACCUUAUCAUGGUAAUAUAUUGUCCGUUUCUUCAUGAAAUAGGACAAUCUGGUAAGAAAAACGGGACAACAGCUAAUACUAAGUAGUUUACCUCUCUUAAUGGUCCUACCUGGUAUCGGUCAAAAUUGGUCAGAAAAGAUUUGGGGGGGAGGGGGGAGCAAUUGCGCGGCCGUACAAUUUGAGUAGAAAAAACAAAAUUAGGAUAAAACACCGGCCGUUACGAAAAAAUGUGAUCUUGGAUUAAAUGUAAAAUGCUGAAACGCUCAAAAAAGGAUUAACAUAUGUUUGUGAAAAUUACACGAGUUAAUACUGCACUCUUUUUUUUAUAUCAUGGGGUGAGAAAUUAAAAUAAGCUUCUAACAAGUGAGUACUAUAGCAAUUCCAAUGAGAUUCAAAAUUCAAGCCUCCCCUCCAAGUAAAUGCAACAUUGAAUAUGAAUUUACUUGUUAAAAAUGAAAUUGAUUAACUCAUGUUUCCUUAAUUUGAAAAGAUGUUAUCACCAAAAUAAAUUGAAUAAAUUAAACUAAGCCAAAAUCCCAGUCAGUUAUGGCCACGGACUUAUACAAAGGAGCAUGGCCAGCCUGCUUCCGUGUCCACAACAAUAUUUUUAUCAUUUACAAUUUUGCGGACUUAUACAAAGGAGCAUGGCCGGCCUGCUUCCGUGUCCACUACAAUACUUUUAUUAUUUACAAUUUUCUUUCACUGGUUCAAGUCGUGGAAGUAGUCAUUAAAAUUUAUAUUAUGAUAGGUUAUCUACGUUACAGCCCUCAAGUUGCAGCCCUUCUCCGGAUUAUGCGUAAAAAAGAGAUGUGUGACGGCCUUCCCAAUGCCGCGCUUCUGUAAAUUUAUCUUAUCCACCAUUGACAGCGAUCUCUCGAUCUCCCUGACAAGAAAUCUACAUGGAUAACUUCUCGAUGAUGAUUAAGCUCAUAAAAGAAUGCAUUUGGCUUUAGAUGAUUUCUGCAUAAUGGGUAAGUCAUAUUACGUCCACAAUUCAUCCACCUAUCCAAACAAACCCUAUGGAAAAGAUGAUCACAUCUCAACUCUCUAACUUCUUCUCCUUCUUCAAUCUUGCACAAACAUAUAGCACAUUCCACUGAAUCCAAAUUAGACCCCGAAUCGUGCUCGAAACGCCUUAUUCUAAGCUCAUUAUUAUGAUCGUGAGGUGUUGUAGCUGCAUCUUCAGAAAUGACAGUGAAGUUGUAAUUACAGGAAUGAGAAAAAGAUUGAAAUAGGACGACAUUCCAAGCCCAUUUCAAAUUUGUAACAAUAAAGUCUAUAUAUUUUAGUAAUUUUGAUUGAGGAAACAUUUGAAAUGCUUUAUUAAAGAUGUAGCUGAAGAUAAUACAUAGAAAAAAGAAGGAGAUGGCUAAUGUUGAUGGACUCAUUUUCUUUUCUUUUUGUUUAAGUGAUUGUUGAAAUCUUGAGAGAUAAUACUAUGCACACUUACAUAGGUUUAUAUAGUUUGCUAAAGGCAGUGCCUGAAGAGCUGAG
RNAcentral lists this long non-coding RNA (45816 nucleotides) under Nicotiana benthamiana. RNAcentral's name for it is "long non-coding RNA (NBEN_LNC003504)". The record is from RNAcentral. Lineage: Eukaryota; Viridiplantae; Streptophyta; Magnoliopsida; Solanales; Solanaceae.